UACCCAAAAUUAAAAGUGGCAGUCUUACACGAUCUGAUCAUUACUUGCCCCAAACUCAAGGCAAAAGUUUACAAGGUAGUAGUACAUGAUUGAUGAUACAUAAGUUUUGCUCCAUAAAAAAAGGACCGAUUAGAACGCAUGUGAUUUUCACGAGGAAAACCACUUGAUUCGUAUGUACAGAAAAACGGUGGAAACCCCUGUAGACUGACCCGGCAAACAAGCAUCAUCAGUGCAUGGAUACUGGACCAAAAACACCAUAAGAAAUUAAAGAGAACGGAGCAAGCGAGCAAUCAGCCAGCUAGUACUAGUACAUAUAUAUUGUACAGCCGUGAUCUGGUCGGAGAUGAGACGAUGACCCGCCGGCGGCGGCCGGCCGGCGCGGCGGAGGCCCAUCGAUCGAUCACUUGGGCCCCCAAAGCAGCAGGUGCAUCACCUUGUCCGCCUUGCCGCCGCCGUCCGCCGCGCGCCGCCCCGCCGUUGCCGCCGGCGUGGCCGCGGCCGCGGCCGCGCGGGGUACCCGCAGCUGCUGGCCGGCGUCGCGCGCCAGCGCACGCAGCGUCGCCGGGAGCUCCCACCUGCUCUCGCGCCCGCUGCUCAUGGCGAAUCAACCACCGCUUUCUCCUUGGCCCUUCUUGCUAUGCUAUCUAGCUCGUGCUGCUCAUCCUCAGUCCGGUCUCUUCUCUCUCCCAGCCACCUCACCUAGCCUCUUAUACUGCCACUGCACUACUCCUGGUCAUGAGUCACACACAAUUUUACAUUUUAGCCUUUUAUGAACAUUUAUUUUAUAAAUAGAUCUUUAAAAAAAACUUAAUCUUUCCAUCCAGAAAUAUAAUAUGGUACUGAAUAUGACACAUUCCAGCAUCAUGACGAGUUUGGACAGAUAUCUUACAACUAAAAUAUAUCCAAUACUACCUUCAUUCUAAAAUGUAGCUAUUUCUAGCACAGUACUUUGUCCCAAAAUGAAGCUAUUUUUCUACCUACCUUCCCCUCUCAACCAAUCACAACCAUUCUUUUUCACCUACUUUCUCUUUUCAACCAAUCACACACCUUCUUCAAUUAUUCUCACAUACUUUCUUAAUACCCGUGCUAACCUCAAAAAUACUUACAUUUUGGGACGGAGGAAGUAUGAUACAAGAUUGCUAUAUCAUGUAACAGAUGAAAUAUUCUGUCACCGAGCUACAGGUUUGAAUAUAACAAUCUAAAGAUGAGAUACUAGUACUAUAUAGUUAGAAUAGACUCCUUUCCGCUCUCUCGGAGAGACUCAUAGCUCUAGUUCUACAUUUUUAUAAUAUGUAACGAAGAGAUUAAGUCCUUGGUUAGUUUGGGAAAAAUUUUAGAUUUGGUUGGUAUAUUGGAUAUACGGACACAUAUUUAAAGUAUGAAACAUAGUUUAAUAAUAAAACAAAUUACAGAUUUCGUCAGAAAACUGCGAGAUGAAUUCUUUAAGUCUAAUUAAUUCAUCAUUAGCAAAUAUUUACUGUAGCACCACAUUGUCAAAUCAUGGCGCAAUUAGGUUUAAAAGAUUCGUCUCGUAAUUUACACGUAAACUGUGUAAUUGGUUAGUUUUUAUCCACAUUUAAUAAUUCAUGCAUAUAUCUAAAUAUUCAAUGUGAUGGGUGAAAUUUUUUGUUUUGAGAGCUAAAAAGGGCCUAAGUUUUUUAAGGAUUUAUUUAUAAAAUAUGUUUUCAGAAAAUGGCUAGUGUGAAAAGCCCAGUCCUGAGUCACCUCCUGCAAACUGCAAUCAACAGGGGCAAUAAUAGUCAGCAAUAAAUAUCAGCCACCAUGAUUGAUGAACCCCUCCAAAAUCGAGUGGCCGAGAGAUACCCAAAGACGGGAUUUUUAUCCCGCACCCAACGCCUCGGCGCGGGAUCACCACGCGCUUGGCGAUCAGUGCGUACAGCGAUCGCGAUCGCCGGUGCGCGCGGGGGUGUAUAAUUUUCCACGGCGGCGAGGGGAGGGGAGGGGAGGUCGUGGAUGCGGCGAGGCGGGCGGUCGGUGUCGGGAAAGGGGCGUGGAGUAAUGCGCGUGUUUGAAAAACGGGGUCUCUCGACCAAUCCGGAAUGAACCAGUGGUUGGAUUUGGGCUCGUUCUUCCGGUAAAGGGCAUGUUAAGAGAAGUUUUUAACCAGCUGCAGGUUCUCUCGGAUUCUUUAGCUAUCCCAAAUAGUCCGCAUUAUUAUUUGGAUUCAGAUUCUGGUAAUAUAUAAUUGUAAAAUCUAAAAAAAUAAAAUAGAAACUGUAUUAAGCUGAAAAACCAAGUUUCUUCAGGUUAUAAGAAGCUGACUAUCAAACUAAGCUGGCUAUCAAACAGUAGAUUUAAGCUCCCUGAACAGGGUUUUUGUUGUGGUAGGGUUUUUGUUCCAUUGUUUGUUAUAUGUCACAUAAAUAGUUAGAAAAAUAACAAGUUAGAUUCAUACAAGAUAUAUCCGUUUAAAUUCAACUUCUAUAAGUUAUAAUAAAAAAACACAAAUAUAAUUGUGAAUUUACGUUAACUCGUUUGAAUUUAAUAUGUUCUUUUAGUUAUAACUUGAAGAAGUGAAAUUUAAAAUUGCAUUUUGUGAGACGAUAUAUCCCAUAUUAAUUUAUUUUAUAAUUUUUUUCUUAAAUUUUUCAGUGUCCAUUUUGAUGAGAUACAAUAAACAAGCAGAUGUUUGGAGUAGGGGUGGACAUUCGGUCUGACCGAAAAUUUCGGUCUCGGUCUUUGGUCUUUAAAAAGUAAAGAUCAAAUUUCAAUGCAAAAAUAUCAGGACCGACAAAUUCAGUCUCGGUCUCGGUCCUGACCCAAAUUCAACAACACUUUCAUAUACGCAAAGAAGCAAUGGAAAUUUUCAAUACAAAAAUCACAGAAAAAAUGUAAGCACUUAUGAGUAAAUACUCUUAUUAGGUUGUAUGCCUAGAAGAAGUAGGAUGCGAAAAAUAGAGUUUAAUCCUAUUGAACAUAGUGAUUGUAUGUUACAUUUAUACUUUUUUUUUUGUUAAUUCAGUCUUUUUGGUCUAUUCGGUGAGACUAACCGAAUUGACCAAAUAAAAUUCGGUUUUUCACUUUCUAGGAUUGAAUUUUUCGGUCUCGGUCUUUUUGGUUCGGUCUUUUUCUGACCACCGCUACUUGGAGGAUGAAAAUCCAUCUCCCGACACAAGUCCCAGCCAGGACGCACUAAGCACUGGAAACAGCUGUGGGAGCUGGAGUACCUUGUAGUCUCGUCCUUUGCUCUAUGCCUGCGGUGACAAUGUGAGGCUAUGAGCAGUAAGCUGGUGUAAAUAAUUGAGUUAGACAAGUCAAUAGAAAUUAGUAGAAUUAAGUAGUAGGAGUAAUGGUAUGUAUGCUUCCGGUCAUAAGGAUUUAACUUGUAAGAUAAAGGCUAAUCAAACUUUUCGUAAGAUCUUGACCAUUAGUAUUGCCGUAAACCUACUAUACUUACAAACUUUUUAAAACAUAUAAUUGUUGUUUAUAGUGUUUGACAAAAUGUCAUCCUAAACGUCAAAGCAACAACUUGUUUAUUUGGUUGACAAAACAGUCUAAAUGCCCUUCAAAACUUUGACCGAGGGUGCAUGUAGCCUCUUUUCUGGAUAAAUUAACAGGAUCUGCUUAUAUGUAGGAGAGUUCACUGGCCUGUUAGAGCCAAUGUGCUUGAGAUUGUUGAUGUGCUCCGUAUUGAAGAAGUGGUUUCGGAUGGUCCAAAAUGUAACAAAGAAAAACUUAUCUAAUCCAAAUUAAAAAGACUGAGUAAAUAAUAGUUCAAAAUAAAAUUUUAAAAAUAAAAGAUGAUCCAAAGUGUAAUUCGCUAAAAAGAAGAAGAAAUCAAGAGGAGAAGAAGAAAAGUACGUAUAAGAACCGCCAAACCUGGAUGCAUAUCACUACCAUUCAGGUAAUACCGCCUUCCUAACCUAUAUGUGUGUAAGUACGUACGUGCGUAAAAGAAAAGUAGAGAAACGCUCAAGGGUUUUCCGACUAGUUUCACAAGGUGGUGGACUAGACGACCUAGAUUCGAAGCCUUACCCAUUCUAAUUAUUUGACAUUAUGUCCUUCCCUAAUAUUCGACCUGAGUUCAAAGCCUCACAUCUUCUAAUUAUUUGAUAUUAUUAGGUCCUUCUAUAAUAUUCGACCUGGGUUCAAAGCCUCGCUCAUUCUAACUAUUUAAUAUUAGGUUCUUCCGUAAUAUUCGUGAUUUUUAAAAAGAAUAGUACGUUUUGAAGAAGAAGAAGAAGAGAGUAGUACUUAGGAACCACCAACGAUCCCCUCCUAUUCGUCCCUAGACUUCUCUCCUCUUUUUUCUCUCUAUUUAUUUUUAAAAAGUCUCCUCUCCUUUUUAUGGUGUAGUUGGCUCAGCAAUAACCAUAGCUGCUAAACUACAAAUUUAAUUUCUAAUUUAUUUCAAUAAUUGUAUUUCUCAUGAUUAAAUCAAUAAUUUAAGAUUAUGAAAAACAGAAAAUGAACCAACACUAUAGCUGUGUGUACAUCAUCCAAUUAGUCUAAAAAAUUCAAGAUAACUUUGCCAGAGUAGACGGCUAAAUUACCACAAUUCAGGACACAUGUAUGUUUUGAAAAAAAAUAGCUUGUAGAUCUAAUAAUUAGAGAAAUUUUAUAACUUCUAAGGGAAAAAAACAAAUAUUAACCAUUGGUUUUCACUUAAACCGGUGGACCUAUAGUUACCACUAGAUUAUGUAUCUAGGAAACAACCGGCUAAUCCCACCUUCUUAAUCCCAAUCCUGUACGUAAGUACAUAUUUAUGCGUGUAAAAGAAAAGUACAUACUUACGAAGUACUGCCAAACCCCAUUCCCGUGCAAUUCGUUCCGUUUGACUCCCCUGCUUUCUAUACGGCAUAGUUGGCUAGUCGGCUAUUUUCUCGAGUAAGUAUCUUCUUGAGUAGGUAAGAAAUAGCCAACUUUGCCAUAUAGAUAGGAAGGGAGUCAAAGCGAGCGAAUUAUUUGCAUUGGCACGGACUAUGGAUAAAGGCGUCGCGGGGUACACAAGGACGACGACGAACAAAAACGGAUUGUGACGAUCGGAAAAAAUGUGUAUCAUUCAAUUUUAAGAUGAAUUCCAAACUAAAAUUGGUAACUUGCUAAAGAUUCGAUGUAAAUUAUAUAAUACAAGAAAAUAAUAUUAUAUGACUUAACUAGGCUAGAAAAAAACUUAGUACUCUAUACAACAUAAUUUUAUCGUGGUAUUAACAUAUUCGUUAUAGUCAUCCAUGUGAGCGGUUUAAUAUAUACAACUAAAAUUGCCUUUCCCCAUUGCAACACACAAACUUUUUUCCUAGUCUUUUUUUUAUUAAUUUAGUAAAAUUUAUCUGAAAAAUGACUGCAUAUUAGUGUUUUGUAUAUAUAUUAGUGAUUUUAAAUGUUGAGGUUUGAUUUAUGGUACGUCUCAGAUAUACACAAUAUCGUAUUAAAGAGAGGGAUACGUGUGAGAUUACAUAGCUAUAAAUACGAUUUGGACCGUUCACCUACAAACUACUAUACUUCCACUAUUUGAUUGCAUGGCUCGGGAUAAUAAGGUUGAAGGACAACAAAUUGGCCUGUGAAACAACAGUUAAUUUGAGUUAAUUAAUCUUAGUAUUUUUAUUUUUAAAACGAAAUUAAUCUAGAUUUUUUAACCUAUAACAUGGCUAGCUAGUGACCAGCGACAAGCUUGAACGGAGUAUACAACCGCUUAGAGCAGGUACAAUGCUAUAAGCCACCUAUAAACACAUAUCGAGAAGAUAAAUGAUGAUAGAGAAGAUUUUUAUCAGUGAAAUAGUGAAUGACGCUAUGAUUAUACAUGUUAAAAAAAUAUGAAUUAUCAACUUCAAAUUAAAAAAAAAGAGCAUUGCCGAAACAUAAUUAGGAUGUGAGUCAAGGAUGAAAAUGAGUUGGAUUCGGACAACUAAUUGAUGUAUCAUAUUCUAUUCCACAGUAUCUUCAUGGAGAUUUAGACAAGGCACAGAUAAUAGAAGGUGUGAAUGUCCGAAACAUUAGUUUUUUAUAUAUAAGUUUUUUGAAAAACAAAUUAUCUAAUUUCAAGUUUAUAAUAAUUAAUAAUUAAUUAAUGAUACGCUAAUAAUUUGUCUCGUUUCAAGUGUUGGCUAAGAUCAAACCGAUGUCCCGAACGCAGCUUUUAGAUUCUGAACUCACGAGAGUCUUUAGGUUAAAAGUCAUGCUGUGGAGCUAUAGCCUAAACAAUAUCGCUAAAUAUCUUUUUUUUAAAAAAUAAUAUAUCCUACAAAUUCUCAAUCACCAAGUAUCCUACAAAAAAUCAAAAUGGUUCUACACUGAAACUGCAUUUUUCUACGUACCCUCACAUAACUGUGGUAAAAACAAAUUGAGAACAUAAAAUACCACACAAUCUACAUUCACACCAUAUGCCCUGAUACUUUUUGAACUUUGUUUUGGAAGCACUCUACUACUCGUCUACUGCAAAAGAUAAAGAAAGAAAAACAAAUAUAGCCUAGCCACAUAUGCUGAACUCAACUCACGUUAAAAACUAAAACAUUUGUCUUUUUCGUUUACCUAGAUUAUGUUUAAAUAUAAUUCUUGGUGGAAUAGUACAUGAUAGUAUAUUUACGUAAAACUCUAUUAUAAUUUUUCACGAUUAUCUUUACUACUUUAACCUCUCCUAUUAUCCAUAAAAAAAGAACCGGCACACUCAAAGGAGUGAAAAAUAUUAUUCUACAUCUUAUUGUAACGUAAGGAUAUGGUAUUAGUUUACAUUAGACCUUAUUCGUUCAAUCAAAAAAAAAUACCGAGGAUGAAAUUUUCACAUCAUAUAUGUGAAAUAAAUUCUACUUUCUUCAUUCUAAAAUGUUGCAAUAUAGAACGUGAUUUAAUGAUAAUAAAUCUGAAACAGGUUACUUCCUCCAUUCUAAAAUAUAAUAACUUUAAAAAACGGAACACAUUAUAAUACUCCAUCCGUCCCAAAAUAAGUGCAGCUAUGGUUUUCCGCGUCCAAUUUUGAUCGUUCGUCUUAUUUGAAAAAAUUUUGAAAAAAAAUUAAAAACAUAAGUCACGAGCAAAGUACUAUUCAUGUUUUAUCAUCUCAUAGCAAUAAAAAUGCUAAUUAUAAAAAAAAUUUAAAUAAGACGGAUGAUCAAAGUUAAGAGUGAAAACUCAUGACUGCACUUAUUUUGGGACGGAGGUAGUACUAGAGGUCACCCCGCGCGUUGCUGGGGAAAUUUAAGCAAUUACAAAUGUCAAAAUUUUGGAUGAAAUAUAAUCACCUUAAAAGGAAAAACCUAACCCAAUUUAUCACUGCGCGUGAGGAAUAUUUGUACAAAUAAAAAUAAUCUUCAACCGUACCAAGUUCAUAGCCUGCAAAUAAUAUUUUUCAAACGUAUGGCUUCGAUAUUGGUACCAUUAAUUGGAGGGAAACUCAACUGGCACUCCCUUCCACUCAUAUUAUACAAAACAAAUUAAGGGAAUAAGUAACAACAAAUUGCUAAAAGAAAUGUUGAUCCGCUGGAGCAUGAGCAUAUAUAUAGCGGCAAAAUAAACGCAGCAGCAUGGCUAACGGAAUGAAGGAUUGAUCGCAACGAUCAAGUAUAGCAACUGGACUCUGGACAGGAGGGCUUGUGGUCAGCAUGUCAAUCCACUGCGAUGGUGUUUUCAGAGGAAUCAGGAAUAAAGGCCGAGUAUUCACCUAAUUCAUUUAGCUAGAGGAUGGAAUAUAUGCAGUGCAAGUGCAGUGGAAGAUGGAAGGCCUGCUGCGUGAGCCAAUGAAUGAAUAUCCAACGUUUUGGUUUCAAUCAGGAGAUGACCCGUCAGGAACAAACGGUUUAACUGUUGAAUAGGCCCCUUUGUUAAUUACUGUCGUGCAUGAUGAUCGGAAUUAAAAAAAAAACGAAGAGGUGCAUCCCACUAUCGCUCUUUACACCCUCAUUUGCAAUCUAGCGGCUAGGUGGAAUCUAUCUGCAAUCCAACGGUCAGGUGGAAUAGAGGUGAUGUGGAUCACUCCUGGAGAAGGAAAUUAGUUUUAAUUGUAGUUAGUGGGAUGACCUAUAUAGAUAUAUAUAUAUAUAGGAUACUGUUCUUAUUCGCAAUAUUAAAAUAUAUUUCAAUUAUUUAAAAAUUGUUUAUAUUUCUGGACAGACGAAAACAAACAAUAAUCCCCGUGUCCUCGCAGUGAGGCUCGCACCGCCCAGCAUCCUUGGAAACAGAGUGAGCGUCCAAAACCGGCGGCGACGCGCUCCCCGUUUCGCCGCUUUCCGCUCAUCUCGCGUAUAAAAACAUGGCGUCUCCCCUGACCACCACGCCUCCACCACCUCCGCAUCACUAGCAAGCGCAAGCGCCGCGCACUGUGACCGAGCGGAGGCGGAGGCGGAGUAGCCGGGUCGGGAACUCGGGAUGGCGAUCUGCGGGGCGAAGGCGGCGGCGCCGUCGCUGGUGGUGGCGGCGAGCAUGGGCGCCGUCGAGGCGCUCAAGGACCAGGCGGGCCUCUGCCGCUGGGACUACGCCCUCCGCUCCCUCUACCUCCGCGCCGCCGCCUCCUCGCCCAGGCUGCGUUCCCCCCUCUCCAACACCGCCGCCGCCGCCGCGCGGCCGCCGGCGGAGGAGGCCGCCGACGUGAGGCUGCGCAAGGUCCACCACCUCGUCUGCUGGGGCCCCAACUGAUUUAUAUUAUAUAUACUCAUCUCACAUCUUCCUGAAGAACAUAUGCCACUCGUCUCGUCGUCUUCCUCUGAUCUCUGUGCAGUGUAGUGCUCUUCUCUUCUCUUUUAGCUGUGUUGCAUCUCGAUCGAUCGCUUGCUUGAUUGCUCCAUCCUCCGUCUCUGUGAUCUGCAUGUUCAGUUUCGUGCAGAUUCGACCCGUUUGUGAAAAUGUUCUGCCGCUUACAUGUAUCUUCAUCCUUAUGCAUGGAGAUCUAGCUAGCCUCCUAUUCCCUCUGUUCCGAAAAUAAAAUCAACUUCGUACGAGAGUAGACUGGAGUCCUUGUAGCCCUCCAUUUUCUCAUUUACUAAUUUUGGAAAAAAAAAUCAGUACCAUCUUGAGAUCUUGAGACUGGACUUAAAAAACCAAAUUAAAGAGAAAGAGAAUAUGUUAGUUAAUUGCAUGGAUAUAUACAUGCUUGUAUUAUAAGACAUCUGAAAAAAUAGUUACGUCUUAUGUUUAUGUUUUGAGAUGAAAGGAGUACUAAUCAAGUCAAGAGCGCCUUAAUUUCAGUUUUGUCAUGUCUAAUUACCAAAUCGAGAUGACAGUAUUUGAAGACAAGAAGGGAUGUGAUAAAGCUACAAACCUGGGACAAGAACGCAUCUUGUGAGAGUGAAGAGAGCUAACUUACCAAAUGCAUCCCUGCAUCCAUCCCCUGGUUCUCAUAUGAACUUUGUCGAAUCUACAAUGAGAAUUGAAAACUAAUAGUACUAUAAGAUUUAUGGAUAUGGAUAUGGAUUGUGUGUGCAUCUGAUGAACUAGCACAAACUAAUUAAUUUCCCCUCAGAGAGAGCAAAGGCGUGAUUGGGUGCAGUGCUGGUGAACCUUUGAGCCAGUUUCAGACUUUCUUGCUAAUUAAUUUAGCCGGCCGGCAGGUUCAUCAACGCUGCACUCAAUAAUGCCUUCCCUUCUCUUCCAUCACCCAUCGAUCUCAUCAUGAAUCUGCCAAUAUUCCUAGCUCUAAAUCUCUAAUCCCAGGAACAGGAUGCAUCACUUGGCUAGGCAGCUUCCAUGCUUGUGCGUGUGUAGCUGCAUCUGCACUGCAUUUGUGUGUGUGUGUGUUGCUUUUCAGACAGGUCACCUCCUCCUUUUGUACUACUGCAUCUGCACCGUGCCUAACGGUGUUGCUUGUACUACCAUGGGAUGCAGCAGCAUCCUCGGAUUGUACUAAUUUCUAUGUGUUGUACUUUGUCACGUCCUGAUCGAUCAGGUAGUACGUACUACUAAUUCAGAGUUCAGACUUUAGAUGAGCUCUCUAAAAUUCCACAUACAUGUAAUACUUGACAGAAAAAUGGGAUUUUUCUUAUGAGUGCAGCAUUUUUCAGAACAAAAGAAUCAUGCAUACGCUUCUCUCCAAUAAUUCAGAGUUGUGGAGAUGAUUUGACCAAUACAACGAUGAAGUUUUAGGCAGGCAGUACAGCAUGACCGUGACCGUCCUGAACCUGGGCGGACACGGCAAGUACAGACUAUAGAGCAGUACAACUACAAACUGUACUGCAUUACAAUUUGCAAGUUCAGAAUAUGAGUGCCUGUCCUUUUCUGAUUAAAGAUGAUUUUAUCUCGGUUUCUGUUAGCAAGCUUUUUAAACUACUAAACAAUGUAUUUUGUACGAUAACUUUCCAUAUAUACGUUGUUUUAAAAUAUCAAAUAUAUUCAUCUGUCAAAUUUGUAGUAAUUGGAACUUAACUAAUCAUGCUUCCGUUUUACAUGCGCUAACUAAUCUUUAUCAAUAAUCUCUUUGAUAGUGCUAGUAGCCUAGUACUAAUACUUUGUCAAGCAGUGUCGCAAACGAACACGUAAAACUAUGAAUACGAUAGUAGGAGUACAGAAUAAUGUGGUACUCGCUGCAUUGAAGUUUCGGGUUUGUAUAGGCUAAACUUCUUCAAAUUUGACCACGAUCACAAAAUAUAUAGUCUCUUCUAGAAGACGUUUUGACUUUGGUCAAAGUCAAACCACUUUAACUUUGAUCAAGUUUGUAGAGAAAAGUAGUACUAAUAUUUUCAACCCAAGACAAAUUUAUUAUGAAAAAUAUAUUCAAUUAUUGAUUUGAUGAAACUAAUUUAGUAUUAUAAAUAUUAUUAUAUUUAUAUAUAAACUUAGUUAAAUUUGAAAUAGUUUGACUUUGACCAAAGUCAAAACGUUUUAUAACCUGAAACGGAGGGAGUACUAUAUAGCAGCAUCUAACCACACCGAAUUAGUUUCAUCAAAUCCACAAUUGAAUACAUUUUUAUUGUGUAUUUGUUUUGUGUUGAAAAUGCUGCUAUAUCUUUCUAUAAAGUUAUCAAACUAAAAAGUAGUUCGACUCCAAAUUUCAAAUUCUAUAUAGAAGUUUAAUAAAAGGAAAUAAAUCUAUUUUUCAAAUUUAUAAUAGUUAAUAUUUAAUUAAUCAUGUGCCAGUGAGAUUAUUUUGCUUCGCGUGUAGUACAAAUCUUCCUCAUCCAGGAGGAAUUAGCUCCAAAGACCUUCUUUUCUUUUCUUCCCACAGAAAAGUUAGCUCUACAGAUUUCAGAACUGCGGAUUUGCAGUAUACCUCAGUCUUGGGUCCAGUACACAGAAAUGAUAAAUAACUACAACUCCAAAUUUGAAUGUGCAAACAUCUCGCUAUUGCCACCAGGGCAUGGAAGAUGCAGAAUUGGUGAGCUUGUACUUAUCUGUUGAGAAUUUACACGAAUUUCCUUUCAACAAAUAAAAACAGCCGUAUGCUAAAGUAGGCUUCUGAACAAUAUACUAGUUUUAAAGUUUCAGAUUAUCUGUAUACUAUGGUCCAAAUACAAAUCGUGCCCAUUGUAAUCAGGAUGUUUCAAGUACUUACAAAUAGUCCCAAUAUCAGAACGAAUCCAGAAGGGGAAAAGAAAAUUCUCAAACGUUAUUAUUGACAAUUGAUAUCUCUGGCAUGGAAGUGUCAGCAGCACCCAGCACAGCCAAAGAAAGUAACUAAAACUAAAAAGGCUGCUAGUUCAUCUAAAAAAAAGACUGCGAGUUGCCCUCAAAAAGGGGGAAAAAGGACUGUUAGUUGAAAGGUAAGUUAUAGAUGGCCAGAAGCUAAUGGUGCAUCAUUUGAACACCUCACAUAGCAAAGAAAUUCCUUUUGAUGCACCAGAAGAUGAUCCUGUUUCACUGUUUGGCACAUAUAUGAACAUACACUGUCACUUAGAUCCUAAAAUUAUGCAUGAAUGAUAAACAUGAAGAAUUAGACUAUGAUGCUGAAUCCUAGUGAGAUUUGGUACCCAGAAUUUGCCCAGAUAUUUGUUUGUAUGUGAAGAGGUCUUGAUGACAAAAGGUUAAUCACAUUACAAUAAUUAUCUACUUCCUAGGCCGCCUUCGCCAUCAACAAUCUACAAAUAUGGUAUCGGUUGCAUGCAAAAAUUUACAUUUGGACUGGCCAACAUCGUUGGUUACACUGAAACAAACUCCUGUAGUGCACAGUUGCUUGACUCAUAUAUACAUGUUCCAAAAUUGACUCAUAUAUACUUUGUAUCCUUAGUAAAAAUGGAAUAUACAAUUAUCAGAAGAAAUACUGAAAUGUAAAGAAGCUAGGGAACAAAAAAAUUAAGCCAAAUGGUACGAAAUGGAGAAACUAGAACAGGGUAAACCUGAACAACGAUCCAAUGUAUGUGAACAAGUUGUGACUCUGGCCUCUGAUGGAACAAGCUCUGCAGCUGAAGUUGUAUUGUAAACCUGGUCGUGGUAUUUGCAACUGGUCACAUGUUUUACAGGCGGCAACUGCGUUGGCAGCCUGUCCUGGCUUUUGUCGGCAAUGUAGCGGAUUAAUUAGCCCUGUGGCUGCUGUGAUGGUAAACGUGACGGCUGCUGCUCUCCUUGCAUUCCUUGCAUAGAUUGCUCAGGUUGCUGGUGCUGACCUCCUUGCCAUGCCCAAACUAUAUCCUUAAGUGCAGGCCUUAUAUCUUCCUUCAUGAGCUUUUGAUAUUCUAUAGUGUCCCCAUUGGACUUUUUAAAUUCAACUAAAUGGAAAGAUGGAGCAAGCUCAAAAACCUCAGCAUCAAGCUCAAGUAAUCCUUUUAUUCCUUCCUUUGGUGCUACCAACCUCAGAACCCCAUUUUCUUUUUUCUUAAUUUUGAGCUUGAAGCGUCUGGCCAAUUCAUUUAGCUUAGCAAAUAUAGCUGCCGCCGGUUGCCUAGUGGUAAAUCUCUCUUCCCUCCGGCCAUAUCUUUCUUCAAACAAAUUGGAUAAGUCAAACCCGGUAGACAGAGAAAUGAUGUCAAACGCGUUCAAGUUCGGGAGGCUUAAUGAAGCUUGCUUUCCAUCGGAAUUACUACAUUCUGGUGAGUCAGAGGUUGUGGCUUCACCAUUAGUGUACACUUUGUCUCUUGAUGACGCACGAUUUCCCUCAAAAAUACUGCAUUCUGUUGUGUCAGAGGUUGUGGCUUCACCCUUAUACACCUUGUCUCCUGUUUCAUGUUUGCUCUUCAGUGCAUUUACAUCACUGGAUUUUCUGUACCAAGCGCUUCUCUUUAUCUUCGGGAUAGAAAUUCUAGUACUUGGAUCUGGAUCAAGUAUCUUAUAUAGCAGAUCCUUCAACUCAGCAGAAAAGGAACGAGGGCAUUUGUAUUCAGCUUUGGCAAUCUUUCUAUACAUCUCUAUAAGAUUUGUGUCAUGGAAAGGAAGGUAGCCAGAUACAAGCACAAACAGAAUUACUCCACAAGACCAUAUAUCAGCCUUCGCACCGUCGUAGCCUCUCCUACUAAGAACUUCAGGAGCAACAUAAGCUGGAGUUCCACAGGUGGUAUGAAGGAGGCCAUCAUGUCUCUUGGACUCAGAAAGGGCACUUAAACCAAAAUCCGAGACUUUUAAGCUCUCAUUCUCAUCUAGAAGUAGGUUUUCUGGCUUCAAAUCACGGUGAUAAACACCCCGGCUGUGGCAGUAGUCUAUACCACUGAUCAACUGAUGGAAAUACCGCCUCGCAACAUCUUCACUGAACUUUCCCUUGGAUAUUUUCUUGAAAAGUUCACCGCCUUUAGCAUACUCCAAAACAAAGUAAAUUUUGCUCUUGCUUGCCAUCACCUCAAAAAGCUGAAGAAUGUUUGGAUGCUUUACUAAUCUCAUUAUUGAAAUCUCCCUCUUUAUCUGCACCAUUAGCCCAACCCUUGUUACCUUCUCCUUAUCAAUCAUCUUUAUUGCAACGGCCUGUCCGCUUGUGAGAUUCCGAGCAUAAUAUACCUUGGCAAAAUUUCCCUGUCCUAACUGCCUACCUAUUUCAUAGCGAUCCAUCAAAAUUGUCCUCCUGUCAUCCAUUGUAGCAAUCUAUUUCAAGAAAAUCCUCUAGGCACUACUUAUAGAACAAUAUAUUUCAAAAGGGAGGGCUUAUAAAUGACUAAAUGAACACUAUCACCACCAAGGUCGUGUCCAUCAAAGAUAUAAUGCCACGAUCUUCAGUGGUUCAGAGACCAGGGUACAGAAAAAAUCAUUAUAACAGCAUGCAGGCACUGCUCUUAUUUGAACUCAACCGGACAGUUGGUGCAAAGCUUUCCGGUGCACUAGCACACAAUUCGGCCUUUUCAAGGACAAAUAUCUUCUAGUGUCACCUGUUGAAAACAAAACGGAGAACGAACAAACUGAAUCAGGGCAAACAUAUAAUGUGAAUGUAGAUCCAAUCAUCCAAAGGUAAAUCAAAUUGAAAACAAUAAUUCACUGUAAAUGCGCAUUCACAUUCCCUUUUUUUUAUACGCAAGGAGCGCAUCUUUGUAUUAAAGAGUAAAAUUAUUUAUAGGCACAUUCCCAAAGUUAGGAUAGCAUUACGAAUUUAGUAAAAAAAUUGCAGGAUUCCCCAUUUCACUAUGAUUUUGAAUACCCACCAAGCAUUCCUUGUAAGAAACCUAAAAUCACACCAAACAAAACAUACUCCAAAACGACAAAAUGACAAGUACUACAAACUAAGCAGUGAUUCAUCCUAAAAAGGUAGAUCACACGACGAUUGAUCUAGUGUUCUAGGACUUCAGGCUACUCCGAUAAAGGAAUCAACAAAUAAAAACCUGCAGAAUCCAUUCAUUCAUCAAUCCCCGGUAGCAGAGCAAUCCAUCAUACUAGGGCGAACACCCAGCUCCCCAAACCCUACCUCACCGGGACACAGAGCUACAAAUCCAGCCAUAAACCAAUCAAACUAACAAGCAAUUUACCCUUCUCAGGCCUUAGCCGCAGAGAUCACAACCACAAAUAACCUAACCAAACCAAGAAACCGCAGGGAGCACAACAUCAGCUGCAGAUCUCUUUGCGGCCACAUCAAAAACAACCAAGCAAUCACCAAGGCUGAUACUACCAACCUGAGAUGAACUGGCCGCGGAGGAGAGGCGGGGAUCCCGAAUACUCAGGUGAAGUCUGCUCCAAUCCAAGCCGGCGCAGCCACAGCGCAGCCGCCCUGCGCUUUGACCUAUUUGCAAGCACAGCCUAUUAAUAUUUUAAUUAAUUUUUAAUUACCUUUUUUUGGUUAUUUUAGUAGAGGAGUGGCAUCUCCGCUCCGCGUCGCAGCCACAUGCUCUGAUGCCUCCAGAGCACAGUCCACGUUCGCACGGCAGCUCAGCUCUAAGCAGCGCAACGCGUCAUCACGCCGCCCGGUGGGCCCCACAGCCGCCACGGGCCUGGUUGGUGGGCCGUAGCCCACGUGGGCCCACCGGCGGCAAGGUGGGCUUUCUCCUCGUGGCCCAACUGGCGGUGGUGGGCGGCGGAUGGCGGAGGCUGGCGGCGGCGGCGUAACAGAAGGAGAAGGUGGCGGCGGUGGGUGCGGGAGGCGGCGGUGGAACCGGCGGCGCCCCCCAACGGCGGCGCACCCACGGCGGCGUCGGCGGCGCACCCCACGGCGGACCAACGGCAGUUGGCGGCGGCGAUAUGCACGGCGGCGGCGGCGGCGGAAAUCUCGCUGGGGCGGUUAGGAUUCUAACCCUAACCCGCCCCCUCCCCCACCUUUUUGCCUGCCGGCCAAAUUGGGCCGGCCUAGUACUGUUCGGUGGUGGGCUGAAACCUAUAGUUUCGGCCCACCACCCAAUUUACCCUUUUUUUGUUUUAAAUUUUUAUUUUUAGCAGCCAUUACACUUUAGUCCCUAUGUUUUAUGCAAUUUAAUAGAAACAGUUCAUCAGUUGUUCACAUUAUUAUGUAAUGGUCCUAUAGAUCACUGAUGUUAUGUGUUAAUUAACAUAGAUGUUUAUUCAAAUACCCCGUUUCACUAAAUUUAUUUGUUGUCUUAAUAACAUGCCUUUUGCAUAUUAUUUCAAGACACACUCUACUUUCUCGCUUCAUUAAUUUAUAAAAUUCUAUAAAUUUUGUACUUUGAUUUAGCAAAUUCUCUUAAUUAUGUGCAACAUGAUUAAUGGAGGAUUUAAUGCAUGUUCCACUUCACAUUUUGACUCGGAAAUUAAUCACAUGUAGAUGGAGUCCUAUACUUUGGUCAUCACGACCAUAAUUUAGGCAGCGAGUAUCUUGCUCAUCAUCAAGUGGUCUACAUUUUGAGAUGAUUACCCGAUGGAGCCCUACAAAUUGGCCGCACUGGUUAUAACCUAGGCAGCGAGCAUCUCGCUCAUCUCACAGAGGUUUACAUCUCAUGAUGAUUACCCACAUGUGUUAUUUUCCGAGCAUAUGUUUUGAAAAAUGAGAUUAUUUGAAAUUUGAUUGAACACAAGGUAGUGGAGUCCUAAACAUUGGCUGCGGUAUAUUCACCAGAAUAUAUUUGCCUGGAGACCAUGUUUUAGGCAGCAAGUAUAACUUGCCCACUAUUAAGAGAUCUACUCCACUGUUUAAUUACUUGGAGAUUAUCCACAUUGUGCCACCUAAUUUCAAAUCCUAACUCAAAUUGUCAGGUCUAUAACCUACAUCUUUUCGAAACAUUACAAGAUAUGAAGUUUUACAUUUCGCAUUGAGAUUACAACCUCAAUAUCAUGUUUUUAUUAAUUUACCUCUGUAAAUUAAUAGUGUUAAUCAUGAUUAUAGGGACACGGCAACUAUAGAGUUCACCGAACUCGCCCUCGAUGGGAGUAACUACCCAAUUUGGGCUUCUGAUAUCAAAAUAAAUUUUUCUUCUAGUGGGAUUUCACAUACAGAUUAAGAACCCAAUGAUUGGGAUCCACCAGUUGAGAACAGAAAACUAUAUAUUACCUUUUUCCUUCUGAGGUUCUAUAUCUAUAAAGAUCUCAAAUAUGAGUACAUGUUGGAGACGAGCCCUCUCAACCUAUGGAAAGCUCUAAUAGAGCGUUAUGAUCAGCAAAAGGAACUCAUUUGGCCAGAGGCUAAUUAUGAGUGGAUUCAUUUACGCCUACAGGAUUUUAAACUGUGGCCGAAUACAAUCAUGUUGUACAUAACAUUUGCUCCAAGUUGAUAUUUUGCGAUAAGAGCCAACGGAAGCAGAGAAGAUAGAGAAAACUCUAUCAACUAUGUUUCCAGAGGACAAGAUAUUGAACCAAUAGUAUCGCACUAAAAGGAUUUAAGGGAAAUUCCUCGAAUACCCCUACGAAUCUGACUGGAAAACGCAAACGCAACAACAGGCGCAAAUCCAAUGGUCGACAGAAAGGAAAUAGGAAGGGUAAGGCACCACAACCUCGUGGCAAUAGCAACAUGCAUUGCAACAGGUGUGUAUCUGACUAUCAUGUCACUAAAGAUUGCCGCAUCUCAAAAACAUCUUGUUCUCCUGUAUCAGAAAUCCCUAAAGGAGAAAAAGUCUUCUGAGGAACUAAGAUUUGAAGCUCACUUCAAUCUUACAAAAGAAAGACCUGAGGUUGAAAGUUCUCACUAGGCUCCUAUUGAACCAGAGAACACCCUCGUUCUUCUCCCAGAGGAUACCACUGCGCUUUCUGCAAUAGAUGAUAUGCUCAUCGAAUACUGCUCAACGGACCCACUUAGAGAUUUAUUGUAAUCUCAGUGCGUCCCACUUAGAGAUAAAGCUGCUUUAAUCUCAGUGUGUUUAAGACAUUAUAUUGAUAUCCUAUAGUUUGUCAAAACAAUAUUGGUUGUAAUAAGUAGAUAAGUACAAACUCCCUUAUAUUAUAAAGUUGUAAGACUUGAUAGUCAUUAGAGUAUGUACUAUUAACCUAUGUAAACGUCAUACUAUGUAUCUGAUGUUUUCAUUAUUGUAUGUAUGUAUAUAUUGUGGAUAAAGAAUUCUUCACUAAGCAAUUCUUCUUUCACUAUAGAUGUCUAAGGAUAUCGCUCUGAAAUUGUCCUUCUCUCAUCCAUUGUAGCAAUCUAUAUCAAGAAAAUCCUCUAGGCACUACUUAUAGAACAAUAUAUUUCAAAAGGGAGAGCUUAUAAAUGACUAAAUGAACACUAUCACCACCAAGGUCGUGUCCAUAAAAGAUAUAAUGCCCCGAUCUUCAGUGGUUCAGAAACCAGGGUACAGAAAAAAAUCAUUAUAACAGCAUGCAGGCACUGCUCUUAUUUGAACUCAACGGGACAGUUGGAGCAAAGCUUUCCGGUGCACUAGCACAUAAUUUGGCUUUUUCAAGGACAAAUAUCUUCUAGUGUUACCUGUUGAAAACAAAACAGAAAAUGAACAAACCGAAUCAGGGCAAACAUAUAACGCAAAUGUAGAUCCAAUCGUCCAAAGGUAACCUAAAUUGAAAACAAUAAUUCACUGUAAAUGCGCAUUCACAUUUCUUUUUUUAUAUAUGCAAGGAGCGUAUCUUUAUAUUAAGGAGUAAUAAAAGUUAUUUACAGGCACAUUCCCAAAUUUAGGAUAGCAUUACGAAUUUAGUAAAAAAAAUUCAGGAUUCCCCAUUUCACUAUACUUUGAAUACCCACCAAGCAUUCCUGGUAAGAAACAUAAAAUCACACCAAACAAAACAUACUCCAAAAUGACAAGGACUACGAAACUAAGCAGUGAUUCAUCCCAAGAAGGUCGAUCACACGACGAUUGAUCUGGUGUUCUAGGAAUCUAGGCUACUCCUAUAAAGGAAUCAACAAAGAAAAACCUGCAGAAUCCAUUCAUUUAUCAAUCCCUGGUAGAACCCGUCAUACUAGGGCGAACACCCAGCUCCCCAAACCCUACCUCACCGUGACACAGAGCUACAAAUCCAGCCAUAAACCAAUCAAACAAGCAAACAAUUUACCCCUAUUAGGCCUUAACCGCAGAGAUCAUAGCCAUGAUUAACCUAACCAAACCAAUAAACCGCAUAAGCACCGCAUCAGCAGCGGAUCUCUUUGCGGCCACAUGAAAAACAACCAAGCAAUCACCAAGGCUAAUACUACCAACCUGAUCGAGAUGAACUGGCCGCGGAGGAGAGGCGGGGAUCCCGAAUACUCAGGUGAAGUCUGCUCCAAUCCAAGCCGGCGUAGCCACAGCGCAGCCGCCCUGGGCUUUGACCUCUUUGCAAGCACAGUUCUAUUAGUAUUUUAAUUAUUUUUUAAUUACCUUUUUUGGGUUAUUUUAGUAGAGGAGUGGCAUCUCCGCUCCGCGUCGCAGCCACAUUCUCUGAUGCCUCCAGAGCACAGUCCACGUUCGCAUGGCAGCUCAGCUCACAGCAGCGCAACGCGUCGUGCCGCCCGGUGGGCCCCACCGCCGCCACGGGCCUGGUUGGUGGGCCGUAGCCCACGUGAGGCCCACCGGCGGCAAGGUGGGCUUUCUCCUCGUGGCACAAAAGUCAGUGUGUGGCCGUGGCGAGGCCGGCGGAGGCAGCGGCGGCGGAGGAGGAGGUCGUCGUCGCCGGCAGCUCAGCUCAGCUCACAGCAGCGCAACGUGUCAUGCCGCCCGGUGGGCCCCGCCCCCGCCACGAGCCUGGUGGGUGGGCCGUAGCCCACGUGGGCCCAAUUGACAAGGUGGGCUUUCUCCUCGUGGCCCACAAGUCGGUGUGCAGCGGCGGCGAGGCUGGCGGCGGCGGAGGAGGAGGUCGUCGCCGGCGGCCGCGCGGUGACGGGUGCAGUGAAGUUCGGCGCGAAACCUCAAGAGCACCGCAUUUUCUACGCUUUUUCUUUGUUUUUUUUUUUGGCUCGAGUGCGCCUUCGCCGAACAGAUAAAGGCCACGUCUUUUCUUUUGCUUUCUCCUCUCCAAGCGAAGCCACUGCUUCUACUGCGUCGACUUGGAAUUUUGCCGAAUCUUUUUUUCCUAUGCAUUUGGCAAGACCAAGAAAACAAAAAGAAAAGAGAUUAUUAAUCAUGGCGACACGAAUGGAAAUGGUUAAUAAUCGCAUUGAAAUCUAAAUCCGAUCCUACUAAAGAAUUAAUUAAAAAAUAGGAGUACUAAUAAUGGGCAUAGAUAGAGGGAGACCUCACUCUCAGCAUAAAAAAAUUCCAUCUUUGCAGGCAGACGCAGGUGCACUUGCUUCAGUCACCACCUCCUCUUCUCCUUUGCCGACUCCUGAGCCAUCAGUGUGGCCUAACUCGUGUGACUUUCAAAGUAAGAGUAUCUACGACUUCGAUUCUUUUAUUGCCUUUCUGAUUAAUGAAUAGUGGUAAACGAAGCAAUAGGAUUUGACUCCUGGAGAAGGAGAAGCUAAGAUAGCACUGAGCUCUUUCUAGAUACACAUCCUUCUCCGCGGCCAUUUCUUGGAGCAAAUCUCAUUUUGCACAGCCCCAAAGAUUUCUUCAUCUUUGAAGGCAAAAAAAAAGAUGGUCCUUUUUCGAGGGAAAUAGGGGGGAAGAUGGCUAUGAAGAGAGUGGUGUUUCUGUUGCUGCUUGUGGCGGCAUCUGCAUUGGUGAAGUCGUCAAGAGGAGGAGGAGGAGGGGAGGAGAAGUUGGGGAAGUUCUAUGGAUGGCGGCGCCAUCUUUCUUCUGGACCAGCUGCCUCUUCGUUGGUUCUCAGUGGGGAUCUCGUAAGGCGUCCAUAAACCUUCUCCUUUGCAUGCUAGAUAGAAGUAAUCGAUUCAAUAGCUCUAGUUUACUUUGCUUGAUUUGGACUUGUUAUCUGCCAAGAACUUCGAAUAUGACUUCCAUUUUGUCUUCUUGAAAGUGAGGCAUUCAGGCCUUUUUUGUUAUUUACCGUUGUUAUGUUUAGUAUAUUUCGUUAUAACAGAAAUAUGACUGAUUGUUUCUUGAUCUUUAUUGUGCUCACUUUAGUCAAUCAGGAUGAGCAGUAAAUUUUACUUAGUUCAUAUAUAUUAUAUGAGAACAAUUUAACAGAUAGCUUGAUGCAUUAACAAAUAAUCCUUACUGUGAUGCAGGUAGACAAAAUAUGGUCAGUUUGCUUACAAGACAUAGUUAGCCCAGAGGAUACAUUUGGCUUUGGGGAAUCAUUUGCCUGGGAUGAGUUAUCGAGUCAUUCCACGGAAGAUGAACUGAAGGCAACACUGUUCAUGGAACUUAUGGCUCUUCUUCCACCUGAGAAAUCUUCUUUUACUUAUGAUUGUAUCCGUGCAAACUGCUUCAGCCUGGGUGUUCCACAAAUAUUCAGUGUUGCACUGAGCAACUAUCUUGAGAGCCAGAAAUCAUUGGUCGGUUCAAACUUCUAUCCGAGACGGCGUUUGGUAGAUAAACUGAUCGGAGAUGCUCCUUCCAUGGCUCCAGCUUUCGCACCAUCCAUGUCCUCUGGCGGUGAAGUUCACUCUCCCCUCUCUGUGGCGGAGGCACCACUUACACCUUCCAACUCUCUGAACAUGGAACCUCCCAGCCCAUAUUAUCCCAGUAAAUCUGCACACAAGCAUCAGGGAGUGGCACCUCCAGUUUCACCUUCAGAGGAGUAUCAUGACUACAUGAAAGUAGUCUUGAUCGCUGUUCUUCCAACAGCCGCACUCUCAUUCCUAGCUGCAUUUCUAUGUUUCUACUGCUGUGGAUGCAACAAAAGCAAGGUCUCGGUUGGCGAGCAACGAGAUGACCAUCCUCUUCUUCACUUGCAGUUCUCUAACUUGCCUGGUGAGGAUACAUCCCUUCUAUCAACAUGGUAGAUUAUUAUUGGUAUGGUAGUAUAUCAUCUAUCAUUUGAAUGGCAGGUUCGUCACCUGAUGUGCAUGUUCCUGCCAGCCCGCUUCAUAAGGAUGAUCAUGGGGUUAGGCCAUCCAAUGCUGGUGUAAGCAUGAGCAAGUGCUUUCCAUGUUGUUUUAAAACCUCAAGUGAUGCCACAACACCUACACUAGUAACUGGAGGAACACAGGAGAACAAUGCCACAAGUGAUGCCCCUAAACUGAUGCCUCCGCCACCCCCACCUCCUCCACCUCCACCUCCACCUCCCCCUCCACCUCCUCCGCGUCCACCUCCUCCGCCUCCACCUAUCAAGAAGGGUGCUCCACCACCUGCACCUCCUAAAGCCACCAUGGCAAGAUUUCCUAAGCUGUCACCUACAGAGUCAAGUCGUUCUGAAGAGUCAUCUGCAAGCGAGCUGGCCAGUGAAUCGUCUGAAACUGAGGUGAAUGCUCCAAGAGCCAAGCUCCGGCCUUUCUAUUGGGAUAAAGUUCUUGCUAAUCCUGAUCAGUCAAUGGCCUGGCAUGACAUCAAAUUUGGUUCUUUUCAGUAAGUUUUUAAAUUUAGCAAUGGCAUGUAUUCUAAGUUCAUUUAGGCUUGCAACUGACGACUGCAUUCUGCAGUGUGAACGAGGAGAUGAUAGAAGAAUUGUUUGGUUAUGGUGCUGGCAACCAAAACAAUGUCAAGGACAAGGAAAUUUCCAUUGCAGAUCCUUCACCUCAGCAUGUUUCUCUUCUUGAUGUUAAGAAAUCAUGCAAUCUGGCAGUUGUUUUUAAGGCAAUGAAUGUGAGGGCAGAGGAAAUUCAUGAUGCUCUGGUUGAAGGUAGUUGAACUAUUGCAUAUAUUUACAUGCAGCCUACUUACCCAUUUGCCAAAAAAAAAAAAAGCUCCUAAAGUUUCCAUUAUCGCUGUAAAUACAAUAUGUUUGCACCGCCAAAGAUAACAUUGCACUUAUAAAUGAGCCUUUUGAAAAAAUGGAAUGCUCGUUGCAUUCUAUUUAACUGAUACAAGAAUUCGACUGCAACUAUAGCAAGUUUACUUAUUAAACUAUAUACUGUGCAUUUCUAAGCACAUGUAUUUGUGGCCAUCCUCUUUUAGUUUCUUGUCUGUCUUUGUGAUUGUGGCCCAUCUCAUUUCAUAUCAGGCAAUCACAGUGAAAACAUGUUUCAUAUUGUGUAUGCAUUGGUCAUUUACUAUAUCAUAUGUUCUCUUGUUCACUAGAUGUAGCUGUUGAGGUCUAAGUAGUACACACAAAGUUGAUGCUGUGCUGGUUCACUUCAAUAUACUUCUGACAUUGUCUUCUGUCACAUUAUGUUAUGAAGGGAAUGAACUUCCUAGAUUACUUCUUGAGACAAUCUUGAGGAUGAAACCGACUGAUGAGGAGGAACAGAAACUCAGGCUUUAUAAUGGGGACUGCUCGCAGCUAGGCCUAGCAGAACAAGUGAUGAAGGCACUAAUUGAUAUUCCUUUUGCUUUCGAGAGGAUUAGAGCUUUGCUUUUCAUGUCCUCUUUGCAGGAAGAUGCUUCAAGUCUAAGGGAAUCAUUCCUCCAAUUGGAGGUAAUCCAUCUGAAAGUAGUUGACUUCUGUAUUAAAUCUGCGAAGUAUUCCAACCUUUUUUCUCCAAGUGUUCAGUUUUUUAUCUGUUUGUGCCAGGCUGCUUGCGGUGAACUCAAGCACCGCCUUUUUCUGAAACUACUAGAAGCCAUUCUCAAAACUGGAAAUCGUUUGAAUGAUGGGACGUUCCGUGGUGGUGCUAACGCGUUCAAACUUGACACUCUUCUUAAGUUAUCAGAUGUCAAGGGAGCUGAUGGGAAGACCACAUUGCUGCACUUUGUUGUUCAAGAGAUCAUUCGAUCUGAAGGUGUUCGCGAAGCAAGACUCGCCAUGGAAAAUGGAAGAAGUCCACCAUUUCCUAGUACUUCGGAUGACAAUUCCAAUGAAUCUCUACAGGAGGAUGGCAAUUACUACUCCAACCUUGGCCUUAAGAUUGUAUCAGGGCUUAGUAAUGAGCUGGACAAUGUCAAGAGAGUAGCAGCACUGGAUGCUGAUGCUUUGUCUACAAGUGUGGCAAAUCUGCGACACGAAUUAUUGAGAGCCAAAGAAUUCCUGAACUCCGACAUGGCAUCGCUAGAAGAGAACAGUGGAUUCCACCGCUCGUUAGAAAGUUUCAUAGAACAUGCAGAGACUGAGACCAAUUUUCUCCUGAAAGAAGACAAGAGAUUGAGGAUGUUAGUGAAGAGAACGAUUCGAUAUUUCCAUGGAAAUGAUGAGAAAGAUGACGGUUUUCGCCUGUUCGUCAUUGUAAGAGAUUUUCUGGUGAUGCUAGAUAAGGCAUGCAAGGAGGUUGGUGCUUCACAAAAGAAGGCAACAAAUAAAUCUCAAGCCAAUGGCAACUCUAAUAACCCAUCAUCCCAGUCAAAUCCUCAGGAGCAACAGUUUCCUGCUGUUUUGGAUCAUCAUUUUGAUAGCUCAGACUCUAAUGAUUGAAGAUAGAUACAAUCUUAGAUACUAAGAUACAUACAUUAUGUUAGAUAUUUUAUAUUUUUUCGCCCGAGACCAUGUAAAAAGUCCCAUUUGCAGAGGCAUUGUUCAUACAUAAUCACAUUCACAUAGAUAGAUUUGAAACUUCAUACAUGCUAUUAUGCUAUAACAUUCAGUAUCAAAUCUGAAGUUCUGAACUCAGCCUAUCGUUAGAUUCUAUUUUCUUUGGUAAGAGUAUUCAUAUCCCGACCCCUCCCCACAUGUGUCAUUUCCCAGAUAUUUUUAUUUUAUUUUUAAAGUCAAACCUUUUCUUUUCAUUUUUUGAAAGCCAAAACAUUUUCAACCGUGUGAUGGAAACCAAAACCUUCAGCACCCUAAAGACGAAAAAAUAAUUAGUAGGAUAUGGUAUAUUUCAGAAAACUGGAUCUAUUUUAUCAAUCUAUCACUUUGCUACAAUGUUAUCCACGUAUUUUAAAGAAUUGCAAUAUUAGUGUAUGGUUUUAUCAAAAAGAAAGAUACAACUUAAUUUGUGUGACAAGUUUAAGUCCACAUACACUGUCCAUUAUAAAUUGGGUAUAUGUCAUACUAGAAAUGUGGUCCCGUGACCAUGGUAGGUUUUUACUCUUUUAGUAGCUUUAUAUAGUCCAGUUCUUAUAAUCAUGUGUAUAGUGUUGGGCAAAACUAUAUCCCAUCAGGUAGAUGAGUUUGGGUCCAUUCUAUGAGCACCCGUCCCGUCUACCAUGGGUAAAAAACACUCGUAGAUCUAGCGAAAAAAAAUUACAGUGGCCUAAGACCAAAUCUUAGUAUGAAAUCAUCUCACCUAACCACCUAUCAAUCCUACCAAUAUUCUCCAUUGCCACACAAACCGCAAGUAAAAGGCAGUGCUCGUGGUGGCGGCUAGAACCACUCAUGACUCAUUAUGCUCGUGAGUUGCUAUGCGACCAAGACAAGACAAGGGAGGUAGCGGGGCUCAUGCGGUUAUAGGGGGUAGGGAAAACGGGAUUGAGGAGUCACACUCUCAUCACAUCUCUAGUCUCCUUCACAUCAGUCUCUUACCAUUUCCCAUUCCAAUCGGUGGUGGAUCCAGGUACGGAGGAAAUCUUGUACCCAUGACAAUUGUGGGUGUUAGAGCAAAAUGUUUUGACUUGCAUAGGUGUGUGCGGGGUAUUAGAACUGGCGGGUGUAUUUGCUAUAUUUAGUCUUACACACAUAGGGGAUAAAUUAGUAGUUAUAUGAUAAAUUCCGUUGCUAAAGUUACAAUUUUAUGAAAAAUAGCCAGCUAAAGUUAUACAAAGUGAUGGUGUUUGCCAAAGGGAGUAUCUAAAGAAUUGCCACAAAUUUUUUGAGUCAAAAACUUUCAGAUAUAACAACUUAUAUAAAACUUGCAUUCAACUAUGGUUUAGUUAGCUAAUAUUGGGAUCUUACGUGUGAUAUGUGUGAAAUUUUUUUUCCUUCAUGCACAAAUCGUAGGACGAUCCGAUGGUCACAAAUUUGGAAGUUUUGGGAGUAGUUAUUUUAGCAAAUCCGUUACCAAAUAAGGCUGUGUUCGGAGGAGGGGGUUGGGAACCCCUCCUCCUCGGCACGCAAAACAAAGUUCAUUUUAUUGCAUGAUCAAUUAAGUAUUAACUAUUUUUUUAAAUAGAUUAAUAUGAUUUUUUUAAACAACUUUCAUACAUAAAGUUUUUAUAUAAACCACACCGUUUAGCAGUUUGAAAAGCAUACGUACGGAAAACAAGAGAGGUGGGUUGGGAAAAUGGGGGAAGAACACAGCCUAAGCAGUUUUGUGAAAUUUUCUCGAUAAUAGGAUAAGAUCUUCUAGGAUGCACAAUCCUACCCGUCCAUUUCCGAUCGGACGGCACCGGUGACACCCAAGAGCAACCCAGGCCGCCUCCUCUCCCCCAAAACGCGCACUCGUGUGCUUUCGCCUUCCAUUCUCCAAACCCUCGCGGGAGAUCGGAAUUCCCCACCCCGGAGCGCCGGAUCCACCACCGAUCGUCGGCGGCGGCGGCGGAGGAGGCUGCGACGGCGGAGGCGGAGAUGCUGGGCCCUCCUCGCCGCGGGCCGGCGUACAAGACGAAGCUGUGCGCGCUGUGGCAGCGCGGCAACUGCAACCGCGACACCUGCAGCUUCGCCCACGGCCACGGCGACAUCCGCCGCCCGCCGUCCUCCCGCGGCGCCUUCACGCACCACCCGGGUAUGGAUUGCCCCCCUCCCCCCUCGCGCGCCCCCCUGUUCGUUGUUUGUCUUCGAGAUCCCCCGCCCCUGGGUUUAGGGUUUCUGGUGUCUAGUGCAGGAGGCGGAGGGCGUUGGAUGUCCUAGAAUUUUUUAUUUUAUCGUCGUGAUUGUCGAUAAGCUUAGAUUAGAUGUAUGCGUUGCUAGAUGGCUAGAUGUGAAAUGGAAGUGCGGAAACCGGACUAUUGGAUUAUGUCAAGAGUAGUAUUUUCACAAAAGCCGAGUGAUAAUGUUAUAAGAGUGAGCAUUGGAAGUUUGGAACUAAGCGGCUGGUUCUGGAGAACGUGACAUACUGGGCGGUAAGCCCGAAUGCGAUGUUUGGCUUCCCAUGCAAAAAAGGAAUGUCAUAAAAAGUGGAAAUUGCUGGAAUGUUGCCUUUUAAGAGGACAUUCGAUACCCAUGAAGGAGUUAGGACUUAGGAGAGAAUCCAGUCAUUGCUGUAAACCUUCUUUAUGAUUCGCGCGAUAGUUUGCUGGCUUUUUUGUCUUGUUCUAUUGCGUUUGUGAUUUUUACUGUAUUUCUUAUACGAGUGCUUGAAUUCAACCACCAGUUGCUGCAGAUAGAAAAUAAUUCUAACAAGUGGAAGCUUGUUGCAGAAUUAGGUGGCAUUCUUACUGGUUGUCUUUUGAUUUAAUUAUCAUUCAAACUAGCAGACUCUGCAGAUAUGUUGACUCAACUGCUGCCAGAGGAUAGCAUGACCUUUUUCAUAAAUUCUUCACUUGGUAUUUCGACGAUUUGUGUUGACGAUAAUGCUUGUGCUGUACCAGAAGGUGAACUUGUGAGGAUCUUGGAUGAUGCCUCCAUUGAAUGAUUGCCAAUAAUAUAUUCAAUGUGAUACAAUCAUGCCAUUAGCUGGCUUUGCAAUUACUGGGUCACACAUUAUAUGAUUAUGGUGCAUCAGCUAGUUCCAUUGGAAGUAUUAUUCUCACUGGUGAUUCAAACAUUUUGUGAUUCUUCACAAGUCGCCAUUGAAGAUAUCUGAGCAAAUGCUAGUAUAUGUAUGGGAUAUUGGGACUAUGCCAUUAUGGAAGACCUUUCUUCAUCAUACUUGCUAUAUGAGGUUAUUUAUGGAGCACUCAUCCAUUUCACUUCAGACGAUCAACAUUAUUAUAUUAAUGGGUGAAUCAGUGGUUUCUUGUCGUAUCUUGGUAUAUGCUUGUGCAUUAUUUUUUGGCCCUACUUUUUUUGUGGCUAAUGGCAUUAUCCUGGAGCCCCAGCUACUUAUUGCUAAUUGAAUAAUCUUGUAGCUCAAUGGUCUUGGUAAGCUUAACAGGAUUAUGGGUGUCCUACUAUCUAUAUAUUACUUCCUUUUUGUUUUUUGUUUCAUAAGUUGCUUCCUUUGUAUAAAACUUGCACCUCCCUGACUUCUAGGGAGAAGAGAUUAUAGAGCCGGUGAUUUCAGAGGCAGGAUUGAUAGGAGGUUUUCACCUCGGAGGAGGCAUUCCCCUGGAAGAGAGUCCAGGGGUCAUCGUCCCCUUUAUGAUAGAAGGCCAUCUUCUCGAGAAAGAGGUAAUAACUGCUUUCUUUCUCUGUCGUGUGUGUAUUUGCAUGUGUGUAUACAACUGUUUCUGGUCGCUUCUACAUACUGAUUGCUUUUAAGUUUAUGCUAUUUAUAAACUCAUAAAAAUGUGAUUUCUUACUGCAGAUUCUAGCUAUUCACGAUCUCCUAGCAGGAAGAGGUACAUAUUUCAUUUCAUCAUAUGAGCAUGAUCUUUUGAAGUUAAAUUCUAAAUAUGCUGUGAGUGCAUGUUAAAGCCCUGAUCAAAGUUCAAUUUAUGGUGUCUUUGCUUAUCUUUAUCAUCGAUUUAUUAGUAUAUUGCCUUGUCGUGUUUCUAUUGGUCUUGCAUUUUAGUUUUUCAUCAUUGUUAAUCACCAUUUGAUAUGCUUGAGUUAAGAUCCACACAAGCUACAAUUUUAGUUCUGUAGUUUUAUAUUAAUGGUGCUGUAAACUAUCAUCAACAUAUUUGUUCCAUUAUAAUGCUAAAAUUAUCUUGCUCAGAAUGGUAAGGUUUUGUAUUCUUCCUGCAGAUUGUACCUGGUGAUACUUACUAUCUAUCACUCAAAUUAUUUGUUUUGUUUUCAUAGUCAUAAGCAUGUUUUCCUAAAGGUCAUGCAAGCACUUGUAUAAGCUGUAUUUUGCGAUCAAAGUAGAACUUGAUAUUUGAACACUGGCAUUUCCGUUGGAAUUGUGGUUGGGUUUACUAGAUUUAUUCUAGAUGCCUUGAACAUGUUGAGUCGUGCUGAACUGGUAAUUUACUUUUCCACAAUCUAUCCUUUAUUUCCAGUGAGAGGAGGCAUGAAAAGAAGACUGACGAUGGAGAAACCAACUCAUCUAGGAGUUUAAGUCUCUCUGAUAACAACGAUGAAAAGAAAAAGGACAAAUUCUCAAGUGGUGAUGAGAAAGAAGACCACGAAAAGCAGGUAUGAGAAAAAUGUAAUCAAAUUCAUGGCUUAUACAAGCACAUUUGGCACAAUCUUCAUUGCAUAAUUAUGAAUAUUGUGCAGCUGAAACAAAUACGGCUGGAUAUGGAGGCUUUGCGUGACGAUAAAACUCAGAUGGAGGUCAGUUUCUAUUUGUCUCGCUAUAUUUGUUACAAUAUGGCACAUGCUACCAUGUUAACAUUUUGACUGCCACUUUUUAUUCACUCAUAAAAAGGAGUUGGUGGUUGUGAUGAUAGGUUCCACCAUCCCAUGCCAUUUUAAAAGAUCUUUUGUGGAUGAAUCUACCUUAGUGUGUGUGUGUGAAUUGUAGGAUCUUUUGUAAAGGAUUACAUCUUCUGCACAUGUAGACAUGCAUAAGAUGAUCGAUUGACGCAAGUCAUAUAUUCUAUUUUAAAUUUGUUACUAAUUUGUCAUAUGUAGACAUGUAUUUUUAUAAAAAAGUUCAAAACUAAUGGCUUAUUUAUCUGUGGUAUGCUGCAAUGAAUGAGCUUAUGAGCACUAUGCUAGUAAUGUGUAAAUUGAGAAAUGGUAAUGCAUGGAUUUCAUCAAGUGUUCAAAGCGUAGGUGACUUUUCACUAGUCCAGUACUGCUGUGCCAACUAUCAACUAAUAGUGUUUGCAUGUAGAACUUAGUAUGUGGGUAUUGUUUAUCAUCUUUAAUUUCAGACAUAUUCUCCAUUCUGUUCAUGUUUGGCACAGAGAUUGCACAUCUUCCAAUCAUUUAAUAGUAGUCAUGCUUGACGAAUUGGUUGGCAGUGCGUCUUUCCAUGAAUAACCCCAAGAGUACCCUCUAGUCUUGUGUCCACUUUGGACCUUCAUUGACUUAUUGUACUUGAGUUUAUUUAUUUUUGUCUUCCUGUCAUGUUAUAUUUUCCGACUGAGCUUUGGAGCGGGUCAGCACUCAGCAGGCACAUUAUUAUAUGGUGCUUGCGCUCUUGUUUCAAAUGCUUUCUAUUUUAUGGCUGUGCUAAUAUUUCAAAUUUUCAAUGGUGCUGCAAGAAUUUGAUUUCACAUUGUUUUUAGCAUCUCGUGAACACAGUACUUGCUAACUACUACUUUAGAAAAGACUCCUGCUUUUUUUUUUGUUUCAUGGAAUGAUAUUACAAAACAUCCUACUUGGCCAUGUCUCUCUUUUAGACUUUUAGAAAAAGUCAAGCUCUUAGAAAUGUUACAUAAAUAAAUGUACACUAAUUUAUAAAUGGUUCCUUAUAAUUUGAAAAAAGUUUGCAUUAAAGACACCAUUUAAUAAUAUUCCUACUUCAUCACUGUUAUGAGCAUGGGCCAGGCCGAUGCAGCAGUUUAGGCACGAUAAAUUAGGAAUAAGUCAUAUAAUGGUAGGAGAUUAUCUAGUUAGGAAAGAGAUGAAGUUUAUUAUCUAGUUGGGAUUGAUUUCUAUGAUACUAUAGACUAUCCUUGGAUGUCAAGCCUGUCCUCCCUAUAUAUAAAGGGACCCCAUGUACUCUAUCAUUAAUCAAUCAAUGAAUCUCUAAAGUUAGCCCUAAUCCUCAGAGCCUCUUUUAGCUGAGCAGGGAGAAGCCUUGCCGCUGCUAUUAGUGAGCGAGUGCCCUAUCACUGGGUCUUCGGACCCUUACCCUAGCUACUCCAUAACAGUCACUACCCAUUGCUUGUACUUAGUUCCAUUCACGUCUAUAAUGUUAGAUCAUGCUGAAUCUUUGCUCCAAACUCUUAACUCUAGUCAACGCACUUACCUAUUUGUAGGUCAUUUUGGAUGAGAAGAUAGAUGAAGUGCGCAAGAUCUCUAGCAAAGUUAAUGAUCUUGAGGUGCAGCUUAGAAGGGAGAAAGAUGAAUGCCAUAGGUACUUAAGCAAUGUUUCCACAUGACAAUGGCACAUUAUCUUGACAGUAUUAUCCAAUAGUUCUAUAUUGUUUUUCUAUACCUUUGUAGGAUGACCUCAAAGAUGAAGAAGUUUAUUAAAGCUCAUGCUCGGUUUUUGAAGGCACAAGAAGAAGUGAAAAGGUGCUUUAUGUUUUCAUCAUGUUUGGCCUUGUAAUGCUAGUACACACCAGAUUACUCCUUUUUGCAUAACUAUCAAUCAAUAAGUGUUCACCAAUUGGAGUUAUGCAGGUCACAAGCUCGUUUCGAGAGGCUUGGUGAUUUGCUUGCUUCAGAUAUUUUGAAGCGUGGUGCUAAUGAAGAGGGGUCCAGUGUCAAUGAAGACCUAAACGAAAGGAGUCCUAAUACUGCAGCAACUAAAAAGAGAUCAAUCCCAUACUCAACAAGUGAAGAAGCGAAAGCUGGUAUGUAGCUUAGUUUCUCGGGACACUCUGAUUGCCAGGUUGUGAUUUGUACAAUAUGGAUCUUGGUGUUAUGCAGCAUCCAACUUUCCCCUUCUGUUAAACUGAUAUAUGUACCUCUUUAUGGAGUAACCAGUCGAUCCUAGUAUGAAGUAGUUCAAAUGUUCCUUUAUUUAAUAUUAAGCAUUAAAAUUGAUGUGCUUAGUUUUCUUACAGUAGCACUGAAGGAUGCCUAGUUUCUUUUAUAAUUGGAUUUUAAUUCUUUCUGCAAAUUGCUGAAGAAGUGUCUUAAUUAUGUACUUAAACCUAAUUGCUUGUCUCCUCAGUGAAGAAGAGAAGAGAGCGAGACUCUGAUACAAUGACUAGGUCAGAUAAAUAUAGGUCAGAUGUUACAGAUUUUGAUAAAACAAGUAAGGGGACUGAGGCAACCAAGUCUUUAUAUUUGAAGAAGAAAUUAUGGGAAGAUGAAAAAAGUAAGCUAGGAGCCAACAUUUUCACAGAAAAGGUGCACCAUUUCUCCCGCCCGCUCUCAAUUUUAUGAUGAACUACAUAUCAUACUUAGUACACUCAGUCCAGUGCUUUGUUUAAACAUUAUCACAUAUUGCUAGCCUAUGCAUUUGAUUGCACUGUAUAUAUCUCUACUAGUGUAAAAGCAGAGUUGUCCUUCCUUCCCCUCUUCCCACCUACCGCGUACAGCGAGAGAGUGAAAAACCGAAAGGCCAAACUUAUUACUUGUCUAAACAAAAAGCCUAGUUGAUAUUUGGAAAGUUCGGUCAUUGCCAGACCUUGUAUUGAAACUGAUAGGCUUCCUUGAUCAUCAGGUCCUAAAGCCCUUCUUGGCUAUGUUGGCAUCUGUAUUUAUCUUUGUUUGAUUGUGCUUAUCACAGGCAAAUAUUUUGUUAACUUGCAGGUCAAAGGUUCUCCCGUCAGACAUGUUUUGCCCUCCACUGGCAUGGCUGCUCAUGCUAUUGAUGAUCUCAACGAAGCUAUUGAACUGGAGGACAGACAUGAAUCCAUAGACGCAUUACUAGAAAAUGAUGCUGAUGACAAAACUAGAUCACCUGCUAUUCCCCUGCAGCCACCACCAGUGGUACAGAAUGCUUAUGAGCAGGUGAUUAAAUUUUCACCUUUCCAAAAAAAAAUAUUGGACCUGCUUACAUGCACGGUCAGCGGCAUGGAACUGGACAGUGCAUUUUGUUUAUAAAAAAUCGUUGUACUAAAAAAGCUCCUUUUUUUUCCCUGUGCAUUUGCUAAUUUGCUGAAAAAGCAAACUCAUAAUUUGUUUCAUCUUUUCCCAGUAUGAGGGUGAUGACGAGGAAGUCGAUGUGGAAUAAGUGGAUGGCCUCGUUUCUAGACAAGAGGCCUCUGAUGAAGCAAUGGCGAGAUUAGCAUCUUCCCCAGCUCCUUAUAAUUAGUACUAUUAGCAUCUUGGUGUACAAAGUGCUAUCUAUUUGACAUUGGGAAUUCAGCUUAUAUUUAUCAAGAAUCCUUUUGUAGUAACAUCCUUGGCGCUGAGACAGCCUUAGUCAACUAUGUGGAGCAGCCGUAUAAAUACUCCAUAGAGUGUCUGGUUUGGCUAAGCUAAUGACGUAUGGUAUGUGCGCUCCUUCUGCCCUGGGGAUUGCGACGCCAGAUGUGUCUACCUUCUUUAUCGCUGCAUUCAGUUAAGAAGAAGAAAUGCCAAAGAUGAACAUUUCAUGGUCAUCUGGCUAGUCGAGCUGAGCGUGUAAACUGGGUAAAGCAAGAUAUCCUGAAUUGAAUUCCUGAUGCCUUUGUACAGCCUCCCCAAGACCCGAAAAAGCUAGGGUUUGCUGCUGGCCUGGUGCUGCGGAGCGGGCAUGAGCGCCAGCUUUCUCCCUCGCUGUUAAGGGUGUAAUAAGGGGUUAAUUUGUGAACCCGCUUAUAAAUCAAAAUCUUCUCAUGGCUGGUCGUCCUCGCUCUCCUGUCGUCGGCUUCUCCUCCAUCGCCGAUGAUCAUCACUCUAUCAUCAGCUCUAUCGUCAAUUCGUCUCCUGUGUUUCGGCCUGGCCAGAUUAACCUAAGCAGAAAGAGCAGUAGUUUUAUCAGUUGGUUAUAUUGACCCAAGCCAGAAAUAGCAGUAGUUUUAUCGGUUGGUUUUAUAAGUCGUAACAAUAUGUAUCUCACGACUUAAAAAAAUAAUAUAUAAAAAUAUCAUGUUGGAAAUAUCCUAAAAUUAACUUUAUAAUUUAAAAUCGACUCAAAUAUCUAAAUUUUAAGUUUAUCAUACCCGGGAGGUUAUCCUCGUCGAGAGAAACCGACCCGGUUGAUUUUCCUGUGUCUAUAUAUAUCGACCGAGUUGAAGCCUCAAGAGGAGGAAAGGAUCGACCCCGACCCGACCCGAAGUCCCGACCCCAACCAGAGAGAGGCGCGCGCGUGCGGGUGCGGUGCGGUGCGGAUCGGAUCGGAUUGGGCCGAGUCCCCGACCCCACACCACACACCCCCUCCUCUCCCCGUCCGCGAGGGCUCCGGCCUCUCCUCCCUCCCGCGAUCCCCUUCCCCUCCGCCUCUCGCCGCCGCGCCGCGCCUCGCCGCGCCUCCAGCCAUCGCCGUCGACCGCGCGCGCGCGCGAGAGGUUCGUCUCCGUCCUCCUCCAUCCCAUCUCUCUCCCCUUCCAUGGAUAUUUCCUUCCUCUUCUCUCGGGUUUCUUCUCUUCUACUUGAUGAGAUUUUGUAUGCAUGUAUGUAUGUGUGUGCGUGGGGGGAUUGGAUUGAUUGGAUUUGGAGCGCGCCUUAGAAAUUCGAGGGGUUUCCUGCGCUCUGUUUGCUUUGCUCCCUAGAUUUGCCACUCCGAUUUCAAACUCUUCGAGUACCAACCAACCCUUGCGGUAUUUUUGCUCUUCGAAUGAGGUUAUGAGAUCUCAUGAGCCACUUAGUUUUCAGACAUGCAGAUGCGCGCAUGUCGCCUCCAUGUUGCCGGCGUACCAUCUGUUUUUUUUUUCUUCUGUUAUUUUUUUCGUUUCAUAAGAUUACCAUGUGCUAGUAAUUACUGUGAGUGAUUUUAUCAGAGACCCACUAAUUUUUUAUGCCUUAAUUUGUUUUCUCUCAUUUUUUGCAGAGCGGCUGUACGCGAUUCACAUGUGCGGUAAUUUACCUGCCUACUGCCGCCAACCAGAAGUGGAAUAUACCCUAUCCUAAUUUUCUUUCUUCGGAUGAAAGGUCUGCCAGUCUGCGUCAGCUAUGGCACAGAGUUCGUCCCGGCUUCACCGCCUGCUCACAUUGCUAGACAGUAUCCUUUCUGCAAGACUAUGGUUCGCUAUGCUUGCAGUUUUACAGAUGAUCACACGCUAUGCUAGGUUAUACUCUGUACCGAUUCUCUGAUAAACUAAGCAAAUUGCCUCAUGAAAUGUGCAAAUUAGCUGGGCUAAAACGUACAGUCUAUGCUUUUGCAGUCGAACAUAUAUCAUUUGAUAUCCCCUUUGGUUUAUCUAUCUAUUGUGCAAAGUUUCCUUUAACACAACUAGCUGGUUCCACGCAAGCGACAAGGUUCGCUGCUGCACGGCAAAUUGGAGAAAUUGCCAAGUCCCACCCCCAGGAGCUAAAUGUCUUACUCAAAAAGGUAUACCAACAAUUCCACCACCUGCUAGUUUUGUGGAUCCUUCUACCUGAAAAUGUUUGCUUAAUAUAAUAUGUGUAAGCUAUGAUGUGUGAUGUGCGAAAUGCCCAACUUUUAGUUUCUUCAAUUCAUGCUUCGCUUGCUUGGUAGCACAAAAAUGAACCCUGCAGUUUUAUGUUAUGCUGAAUUUUCAGUGGUGUUGAAGUUAUAGAUUUUCCUUUUCUCGGACAUGCAGGAUAUCUGCAUUAUCAUUAUAUUAAGAAGGAAAAGGGUAAAAGAACCCUGAUUACAAAACACCCACACACCCCAGCUCUCAGGCUACAUGCCUGUCCGUGCUAACAAGGACCACACGCAGAAAAGAAAACAGCGACCAAAACUGCCCCUCUUCAACCUGAAACUAAACACGAGGCUGUAGACAGUUAAGAAGGAUAGCCCUCUAGCCUCAGCCAAACACCAAAACCGCCCCUCCUCUUCAGCAAGCAGGAUGGCACUAGCCAAGUUUGGAGCAGCACUAUUGAGGGCACAUCGGUUUCGAUGCUUCCAAAGCGUCCAAGCACCAAGAAUGACUAGAGAAUUAAGGCCCUGUUGCACUGGACCGUUGGUUGCCUCGUUGGUCCUGUUCCACCAAAAUACCCUGACCAAAGCGCUGUCGGAGUGAGAACCAAAAUUUCCUCGCGAAGACACAACUAGUGAGUAGAUAGAUGAUUAUUUCAUCAGCUUGGUCGCAAUGAGGGCGUUGAAGUUAUAGAUUAAAUAUCAAACUUUGAGGGAUAUAUGAUUUUGUGUGAUGUCUGUUGUAAGAUGCAAUGCCCUCCCAUGCAUUGAUUGAUGGAUGUUUGUUCUAUGAGAAGUAACUAUUACUGCCUUCAUUAUCUAUUAUAUCAAGGUAGUAACAUGCUCAUCCACUGGAGAACAAGCUUGUUUUCUUUUUACACAUGUUCUGCGGAGAAUGGCUGGCUGAUAUUUAUGCUUUUAUGUUAUGGUUUUAGGUUUCUCCAUAUUUACGUAGUAAGAAUUGGGACACAAGGGUCGCAGCAGCCCAUGCGAUUGGUGCCAUAGCAGAGAACGUCAAACACACAUCGGUGAAAGACUUGUUCGCAUCUGCAGAAGCAGAAAAACAUGCUUCUGGGUUGUCUGGAAUUGGUGAUGUUGGGUCAACGUUGCGGCAUGCUGAUACUACUGCAACAUCUGAGCUUGCUUUUGGAAGGUUUGUUGAGAAUUCUUUGAAACUUUCCUAGUGCUUAGUAGACCUUCCCGCUCUUCUUUUUUGCCUAAUUGGAAAUGGACAAACUAAUUCCGUUUAACUUCUUUUUACAGCUUCGAUAUAAACAGGGUGUUGGAAUUUGGAUCUCCUUUAUUGGCAUCAGGUGGACAGGUGUAUUUUCUUCUUACCAUUAUUUUGCCUUGUCAUAUUUAAUGAAUACAAUUAAAAUACUGUGGUUUUUUUUUCAGGGCAAUGUUAUUUUCAGAUUCAAUCCAUUUUUUUCUUUUCUGAUAGUGUCAUGCAUCCAUCUAUUGUUUGUUUUUCUUUGCCAUAUGUCAACUUCUUGAGGGCUUUCUAUUUUUCUUACUAGGAACAUAGUGAAUCGAAAGCACUUGACACUUAGAAGUAAAAUAGAUCAAGCCUCUUCCAUUGCACUGAAUUUUCGUUUUUGACAUAAAACUGCAUUGAAUAUUGUAAUGUAUAGGUUACUUACUUUGCUGCUAACUCGAGGAAAAGAAUUUUAGUGGAUAAUGUUUAAAUCUAGGAACAUAUUCUGAAGCUCCUCAAUAUAAUUAUUUCUCAAAUUCUGGAGAUACACACAAAAUAACCUCGAAUUUCUUUGUCUAUACCAAGAUUUUUUUAAAAUUUUUGUUUUAAGGUGUACUUGGCAAUUCCAUUCCAUUUCUUAUUUGUUUAUGGUUUCAUGGUAUGCAACAUGUGAAAGCUAAUGGGGAUUAUUGCUUUUGUGCUUGCUACUAGGAAUAUGACAUUGCAAAUGAUAACGGCAAAAAUCCAGCAGAGCGUUUAGCUCGCCAAAAGCAAAAUCUCCGGCGUCGUUUAGGUUAUACUUCUCUCUUACAUCUUAUUGUUGCUACUUUUUAAUUUUCACUUUAUGGCACUCACCGCACCACUGCCACAAGGUUCUUUCUAUAGUGAAGACUGCACCUGUAUUCUGCAAAGUAUCGUUGUACUCUGAUAUAUCUUUGAACUUUUUGUUGUUGUGUUGGAUUUCUCAUUCCUUUCAUGUUUCUGUUCUAGUGCAGGUCUGGAUGUAUGUGAGCAGUUCAUGGAUUUCAAUGAUGUUAUCAAAGACGAGGACCUUCUUGCCCAAAAGAAUUAUUGGGGUGCAAAUAUGCAAAACAAUGGAUUCUAUUCAUUUAAUACUGGUCAGAAUAUUCAGCACUUGGUUGCAUCUAUGGUUCCCAGGUAUCCCAAACAUUCCAAUUUUCGCUCCAGGCGAUUAAGCGCCAGGGAGCUCAAUAUGCUGAAGCGUAAAGCAAAAAGCAAUGCAAAAGAUCAUACAAAGGCUGUACCCGAGGAUGAUGACGUUGUGCCAAAAAGUUCUGGACCGUCUAACGGGGCCUCUUCUGAUCAAGUUGGUUCACACAACACAUGUUCUGUCAAUUGUACUAUAUUUUUCUAAGAUUUUAGUAUCCUCCCGCACAAUUUUUUAUUUUUCUGGGGUCAUUUAUGAGAUGGUCAUUAAUUCCACAUUCUUAAAUUAUCGGGAGCCUUGGUAGAGGUUGUAAAACUUUGUUUCUGAUUGUUCUCAAUUGCUAGCACAAACUAUCAUGUCUGAAUAUGUGGCGCAGUGCAAGUAAGUUAAGUGCAUUUGUGGGUGUGUGUUCUUCCAUGCAUCAUGCAUGUGUGGUUUGUUGACUUGUUAUUGUUGGCAUUCCUGUUUGGCAAUUUACGCAGUUGCACUGGAGCAUUCUGUUGGGAUGGCUUUGUCUUCAAUCUGUGAUGAUCUAAUCACCCCACUUACAUUUUUUCAGGAUACAGUUGAUGCAAUCACAGAUGAGGACAAUCUGGAGUACAGUGAGAAUGGGAGAUGGCCUUUUCAACAGUUUGUAGAUCAACUUAUUCAUGACAUGUUUGACCCUAGUAAGUUCAUUAUCUGUCUUGUCUCUGAAAUUUGUCCCAUUCUUAUCUCGCUUACAAUCUUUUUACUGAGUGUUGUAUUGUAGUUUGGGAAGUUCGCCAUGGCACCAUUAUGGCUUUGAGGGAAAUUUUGACGCAUCAAGGUGCUUGUGCUGGAGUAUAUUUUCCUGAUCUGAACUCACCUUUCGCUGACCUUGAUGAUAAAAACAAUUUGGACUCCCUGAAAAGAGCACAUGGUAUUGAUCUUAAUGAAGACAUUGAUUCGGGACAGCUCGAGCCAGUUUUGAAAAGACAAAAGAAAGAGGAGUCUAAUCCAGAGGUUAUGGACAUUCAGUUGGAUAAGGAGCCAAGUAACGGUGAUUAUUCCAAAACAGAGGCAAGUCUGAGUACUGAGCCUACUGUAUCUAGUGGUGAACCAAAUCUUGCUCAUGCAAAGGUUGAAUCACCCUUCCAGGUUGAUGGUUCAGCUAACCCAUCUAAGGUGGAUCCAUAUUGUACACCACCUCACGAAACACUCAACUCCAUGCCCAAACUGAGUUCUACCCAUCUCCCUGAAAAUUCAAAAUUUAUAAAGCUGAUGAAACUAGCGAACUACUCAGCGGUAAAAAAUUGGGAAUUUCUUCAAGACUGUGCAAUUCGUUUCCUUUGUGUACUUUCAUUGGACCGGUAUGUAUCUCUGGACUUAUAUACUUUUUGUGUGUAUUUGGUUGUCUUGGCUAUUAGUCUUAUUAUUUUUUUUUGCCUUUGUUCUUCCUGUAGCUUUGGUGAUUAUGUAUCUGAUCAAGUGGUUGCUCCUGUUCGUGAAACUUGUGCUCAAGCUCUUGGUGCAGUUCUGAAGUACAUGCAUCCGACUCUAGUAUGCCAUACACUGAAUAUUUUGCUGCAAAUGCAGGUGUGUCCUGUAGUAAUUAUUUGUCUUGCUGUUGUCAACUUCAAAACAGUACAUUCUCUGUUGUCAUCAUCAUCACCAUUUCCGUCCUUUUCUUUGUUCUUUCAGCGCAGGCAGGAGUGGGAAGUUCGUCAUGGGAGUCUCCUUGGAAUUAAGUAUUUAGUUGCUGUUCGUCAGGUGAUUGCUAAUGAGAAAAACUAUAACCUAAUAGGCUAAUUCAAUCGUCUUUGUGCAUAUAUGACCAGAGGGGCAGUAGUAGUUGGCUUGCUACCAAGUCAAGUUUUGCUUUUCAUAUCUCUACACUAGAGGAACUUAGGAGUUCUGAGAAACAUCCUCUUCUGUUUACUAAUAUUUGUUUUUGACGCCUAAUUUAUGUGUAAAAUUGCUAUAAUAUUGUUUCCUUCCCCACCAGGAAAUGCUUAAAGACUUGCUUAAUUAUGUUCUUCAUGCCUGUAAAGCUGGUCUGGAGGAUCCAGAUGAUGAUGUCCGGGCUGUGGCUGCAGAGGCUCUGAUCCCAGCUGCUGCUUCUUUAGUUAGACUAAAUGAUCAAAUGCUACAUUCAAUUGUGAUGUUGCUUUGGGAUAUAUUGCUUGACCUUGAUGAUCUAAGCCCUUCUACAAGCAGGUAUGUUCAAUCAUGCUUUCCUCAUUUAGUAAACACAUUGUUUGCGUAAUGUUGAACACUGAGCCCAUGUUAUACAUUAUAUGGUCCAUCUACUUCCGAUUUCUAAUCUUAUUUUGAAUCCAGUCACCUGUUCCCAGAUAAGGAAUUUAAAAUGUUGGAUAGUUGUUCGUUGCUCUUUUAUUCCGUUUAAAGUUGACUGUACUCAUGCCACAAUAAAUAUUCUGUAUUUCUCAUGUCCAAAUUUCAUUUUUGUUUCAGUGUGAUGAAUUUGUUAGCUGAGAUAUAUUCUCAACCAGAGAUGGUUCCAAAGAUGCUUGGCACAACAGCCAUAGGUGGAGACAACGAAUUUGAUCUAAACAGUGUAACUCUGGUUGCCGGUGAAGAAAAAAUGGGUUCUAAUGAUAAUCCUUAUGUCUUAGCCGCUCUGACACCCCGAUUGUGGCCUUUUAUGAGACAUAGUAUUACAUCAGUCCGGCGUUCUGCUGUACGAACAUUGGUAAGAAUUACAUGGAAUUUGAGAUCCACUGUAGUUUGAUUGUGCUGCAGUAUCAGGUGCCCAUUCGAGUUGAGUAUGAGUUAUAUAAAUGAGAAACAGAAUUGUAAUGAAAAAUAUCUGCAAUAAUUUACCGGGUGAAAUAGCAGUUUUGAGCCAUCUUGUGUAUGUUUUCUACAUUGUUUUGCCAAGAAAAACCAACCUAUCCUUGGGAUUUUGCCAAUCUGGAGUUGGAUAUUCCACUCUGUUCCCAUGUGCAAUUGGUUUUUGCUGUAAGCUUCUGAAUGCCAUUUGUUAUGCUUUCCUAGUUAAAAACCGUGAAGUUCAAACUUUUUGUAGGAGAGGCUUCUCGAGGUUGGGAACACCAGGAAUUCAGCUAAACUAUGGCUUGCAUCUAUAUUAGGUGAUGCGCUGCAAGUUGUCUUCCAGAAUCUUCUUUUGGAGUCAAAUGAUGAGAUUAUUCGAUCUUCUGAAAGGGCUUGGAAACUUUUACUUCAGGUUACUGAUGUUCUGGCUUUCCGGGUGUUGUGAAUUUACUCAAUUCAUAGAAAUUUAAUGAUCAUGUCUAUUACAGGAUUAUAGUAACAAACAAAAAUAUUUCUAUGCUUGUAGUGCCCUACGGAGGACCUUGAGUCUGCUGCAAGUUCAUAUUUUAGUAAUUGGGUGCAACUUGCCACUACUCCAUAUGGCACAGCAUUGGAUUCUGCAAAAAUGUUUUUGCCAGUUGCACUUCCACGAGGAAGUCGUUCAAGAGCUGCUGCAAAGAUCAAAUCUGCAAGGUUAGAACAUGAAAAUACGAGAAUGAUAUCUUUUGGUUCUACCGGAGAGAACACUUCACAGGAAAAGCAUUCUGAAGCUUCCUUGAGUGUUUCAAAAAUAAUUGUGGGGUCUGAUUCGGACAAAUCUGUUACUCAUACGCGAGUGCUGACGUCAAUGGCCCUUGGUCUGUUUGCCUCUAAGUUGCCAGAGGGGUCGUGGCAAGUUGUUCUUGGUCCACUAGCAAGCGAUCUCAUGUCUCUCUCAGGAGUCCAGAGACAGGUAAGAAAAAACCUUAUGUUUUAGUGCAUAAAAGCAUUCAAUUCAACUACUUGUUUUGCACUCAUAAUUUUCUAUCGCUCCAGGUGGCUUCUAUGGUUAUUGUUUCUUGGUUUAAAGACCUCAGAAAAAGUGAUCCUGCUGCGGUGGGUACAUUGCUAGCUUUCUUAUCCUCCCUGAAAGGGUGGAUGUUGGACUUACUGGCUUGCUCUGACCCUUCAUUUCCUACAAAAGAUUCUCCGCUUCCAUAUGCUGAGCUUGCAAGAACAUACAGGAAGAUGCGCAAUGAAGCCAAUAAUUUGUUCCAGUCAAUAGAAUCUUGUGCUCUUCUUAAAGAGUAUACAAGCAACUUAAACUUUGAAGCUGACAUGCUGAGUGUUGAUGAUGCUAUUAACUUCACUUCAAAGCUUUUGUUACCAUCUGAACCUGAUUUUAGUUUGGACAGUGAUAAAAUUGUCUUGAACAAUAUAGAGUCAGCAAAACAAGGUCUAUUGUCUACGUCAGGCUACUUGAAAUGUGUUCAGGUAUGUGAAAUUUCUAAUUAGGGUGUCUUCAGAUUUAUAUUAAUGUGUUAGAAUUACUUGUUGCAUCUGUCUAGUUCUGAUUUUUUUUAUCCUUUUUAUUAGCAAUAUCAUAAAAUAGGUUUCCUUGUUUGAUGAUGUUCUGCAGAAUAAUUUGCAUGUGACAGUUUCCUCUUUAGUGGCCUCUGCUGUAGUCUGGAUGGCAGGGCUGCCUAGUAAGUUGAACCCAGUCAUUUUGCCUUUAAUGGCUGCUGUAAAAAGGGAACAGGUACGACAUAGUAUUCUUAUGCUCUUAAAUUUUGUCUUAGAUGUAAGCUCAAAUGGUUCCAUAUCAUUUAGGAGGAAAUACUUCAGGACAAAGCUGCAGAUGCACUUGCUGAGCUCAUUUUUAGUUGUGUUGGCCGCAAACCUGGCCCAAACGACAAACUAACAAAGAACCUCUGCACGUUAACAUGCACUGAUGCAAGUGAGACACCUCAAGCUGCAGUUAUAAACUCAAUUCAGGUUAUUGAGGACCAAAACUUGCUGUCGAUUGGUAAGCGUUUUAGCAAUCACAAAUCCAGGGGCCAGAUGACUUCCGGUGGUGAAUCGAAGUCGGAGGGUUUUAUAAGCCGGCGUGGAUCGGAGUUGGCUUUUAAGCAUCUUUGUGAGAAAUUUGGAGCAUCCUUAUUUGAAAAGCUUCCCAAGUUAUGGGAUUGCCUUACGGAGUUUCUUAAACCCGUCAAGACUGGAGAUGAUCUUAUGAAAGAAGAUCCAAGUAUUGCGCAGUUAGGAAGAUCUUGUGAGGACAAGGAACCGCAGUCCCUUAUAAAUAAUAUCCAGGUUUGUUUUAUAAAUUAAUUUGAAUUCAAUUGGUUCCCUUUUGUUUUGGCAUAAAACUGCUACAUGAUGUUGGAUUAGACCAUCAUGUCAUAUCAAUAUGAAUCAAUAUAUCUUUGGUUACUUGCUACUAUUUAGUAUAAACUGGUUUGGUUCCAUUUUCAUCUCUUGCCAUAUUUCUAAUGCCAUUUCUGCUCCUCCUCACAGGUUGUUCGUUCGGUUACACCUCAUUUGGCUGAGCCCUUGAGGCCUCAAUUGCUAAGUCUCCUUCCCUGUAUUCUUGGUUGUGUGCGCCAUCCUCAUGUCGCUGUCAGGUUAGCUGCUGCAAGGUGCAUCACAUCAAUGGCAAAAUCAUUGACUGCUAAUGUAAUGGUAAUUGUGAUAGAAAAUGUCAUACCGAUGUUGUCAGAUUCAUCUUCUGUCUGUGCAAGGCAAGGAGCUGGGAUGCUUUUGAGCCUUCUUGUUCAGGGUUUGGCUGUGGAGUUGGUUCCUUAUGCUCCUUUCCUUGUUGUUCCUCUUCUAAGGUGUAUGAGUGAUCCUGAUGGUUCUGUUAGACAGACUGUAACUCACAGUUUUGCUGCUCUGGUUCCUUUGUUGCCAUUAGCAAAAGGUUCUUUGUUACCGGAUGGACUGAGUGAACGCUUAUCUAGCAGUGCAGAAGAUGCGCAGUUUCUAGAGCAGCUCCUCGACAACUCCCAAAUUGAUGAUUACAAGCUCAGCAUUGAUCUCAGUGUUGAACUGCGAAGGUCUGUAACUAUCUUAAAAGCUCCUUUAUUGGAAUGUGGCUUGACGACGUUAUUCUACUUAGUUUGAGAUAGUGUAUUGAGUGCUAUUGUGGAUACCAUACAUAAUAAUACUUGUUAUAAUGAUUAUUAUUUGAUGUUCUUUUAACAAAAUGUUGUGGAUCGCUACAGGUACCAGCAAGAAGGAAUUAACUGGCUAGCAUUCCUUAGACGGUUCAAGUUACAUGGAAUUUUAUGUGAUGACAUGGGUCUUGGCAAAACACUCCAGGCGUCUGCUAUUGUAGCAGCUGAUAUUGCUGAGUCACGUGCACGGAAUGAUGAGCAAGAUCCGAAAUCUUUGAUUAUCUGCCCUUCUACAUUAGUAGCACACUGGGAAUAUGAAAUAGAGAAGUACAUAGACAGCUCUAUCAUGAAACCUCUUCAGUACAUCGGUUCAUCACAAGAUAGGAUUAUCCUCCGUUCUCAGUUUGAUAAGUUCAACGUAAUCAUAACGUCAUAUGAUAUUAUACGCAAGGAUAUUGAUUUUCUUGAGAAUGUCUUUUGGAACUAUUGUGUGCUGGAUGAGGGGCACAUAAUAAAGAACUCAAGAUCUAAAAUAACAUCUGCUGUGAAACAAUUGAAAGCACAACACCGUCUUAUCCUCAGCGGUACUCCAAUUCAGGUAAAAUUUCAUUCAUGAAUCUUGUUGGUAUGCUUUUCGUCUAGCUGUUGCGGUUCGCUUUACAUUGCACUUUUUAUUUCAUUGUUCAUGUUCUUUGUAGAUAAUUCCAUCGAUCCAGUACUGAAAUUGGUAUUACUAUUUAUUUGACACAUUCCACUAUAAUUGCAGAAUAAUGUAUUGGAGCUCUGGUCUCUAUUUGACUUUCUUAUGCCUGGAUUUCUUGGGACAGAAAAACAGGUAAAUGUGCUAUGAAUUCAACUUUACUUACAGAACUGAAAGCUAAGAAUUUGGUCGUUGACAUGAACCAUGCCUUUUUUGUUCAAGAACUUAGUUUAGUUUUUAACAUGUUCCUGAUUUACUCUUACGCUAGCUUCCAAGCUUAUUAGUUAGUUCAGGAAUAAUAUAUGGAUCUAUGGACUUGCUAGUUAGUUCCAAGCUUAUUAUUAGUUAGUUUAGUUUUUUUGUUAUUCACUGUGGACUUGCUCAGAGCGACAGGUGAUAUAUGGAUCUGCCUUAUCUGGGCCGUUACACUUUCUUACAUAUGAUGCUUGCAAAUGAUAUCUAUGUUUAGUUGUGUUAUAGGUGCUAGGCUGCUUGAUAAAUCAUUAGUAGUUUGAUGACAUGCAUCUGUAGAAAAAGACAUUGGUGACUAUAUUGUAUUAAUGUAAGUGGACAUAUAUGGCUGUGUUCGGAUGAGGGGGUUCCCAACCCCCUCUCCCUCGCAUUCCGUGCGCACGCUUUUCAAACUACUAAACGGUGUGUUUUUUGCGAAAAGUUUAUAUACGAAAGUUGUUUAAAAAAAAUCAAAUUGAUCCAUUUUUGAAAAAAAAUAGCUAAUACUUAAUUAAUCACGUGCUAAUGGACUGCUCUGUUUUCCGUGCGGGGAGAUGGGUUCCCAACCCCACAUUACAAACACACCCAUAGAAUGUUUUAACCAACCAAAGAUGAAAUUGUUUCUGCUUUCAUGAAGGGGUGGAUUUUUACUAGUCCUGACUCUUGAUAAUUACCUUGGUCUAUUCUGAUAUGAAGUAUUUGUGCUGAAAUUAAAUACAAUGUUAAUUAUGCAGUUCCAAGCUACAUAUGGAAAACCAUUGCUAGCAGCAAAAGAUCCAAAAUGUUCAGCAAAGGAUGCUGAAGCUGGCAUUCUUGCUAUGGAGGCACUGCAUAAACAGGUUUUUAUCUUCUGUAGUAGACUUGAAGUCUUUAAAAAUAACUGGGGGUUUUGAGUCUUGUGACCUUUGUUGACAAGUAAAAGUCAUUUUGCUAUACUAGGUCAUGCCGUUUCUACUUAGAAGAACAAAGGAUGAAGUUUUAUCUGAUCUUCCUGAGAAGAUUAUCCAGGAUAGAUAUUGCAAUCUCAGUCUAUUGCAGCUCAAACUUUAUGACAAAUUCUCCAACUCCAAUGCCAAACAAGAGAUUUCCACUAUAGUAAAAGAAAAUGAAUUAGAUCAAUCCACUUCUCAACCAAAGGCAACUCGUCAUGUGUUUCAGGUACUGCAGUUAGACAAACAUUUUAGCUUUCUCAUUCUGCAUUUCUUAUGUGGUAUCGUGUUUGCGUUUUAAUUGAAUAUGCUUUUGUAAUGCAGGCACUGCAAUAUCUAUUAAAACUUUGUAGCCAUCCUUUACUUGUAACUGGGGAAAGCCCACCUGAUUAUCUUGUGGACCUUCUAAAGGAAAUCGGUAUGGGAACUGGUGAUGAGCUUCAUGACCUACACCAUUCCCCUAAACUUGUUGCUCUCCAAGAGAUACUUCAGGAGUGUGGUAUAGGGUCAGAAAUAUCAAGCCCUGAUGCUUCUGCAGCUAUUGGGCAACACAGAGUUUUGAUUUUUGCUCAACACAAGGUACUGAGUCUGUUCUCUUAUUGAGACUAUGUAUCCCUGUUUCUUUUGGUAUAUUUUCAUCCUUGUCAUGUUUAUAAACAUUCUUUUCUCCAGGCUUUGCUUGACAUUAUUGAGAAGGACCUGUUUCAAUCCCAUAUGAGAAGGUGAGUUUUAUAUAUUGUGAUGUACAUCAGCUUCAUGAAGAAUUCAUCAUGCCAGUGUGUUGUCUGUGUUGCAACAGAUUUGAAAAAAAUAUAUCAUGAGUUCUAAACUGAAAAAUUAUAUAUAUAUAUUUAUAUAUUUUGAAAAAUCAUAUAAUAUUCAAUCAAACAUCAAUCAACAAAAAACUCAAUCCAUAUGCACAAAAGACAUUUAUCCGGUCCUAGAAGAUACGGUGAGAUCGCAGUUUCACCACCACCACCAGUAGCAGAUUCUUUUAUAUAGUAGAGAUUAAUAUUAGCUGAUGCAAAUUAUUUUAAGCAUCUUGCUUUAUGUUGUUUUAUCUUGUGUUUUAUUAUGCUUGGAUAUUUGUACUUUCUAGAGUACUGCAGUGCUGUUUUAUCUUUGAGUAACUGUAAAUAUAAGGUUGUCGUUGGCCUAGUUGAUAACUGACUAAAAAUACACACUUCUGUUUCUCAGUUUCCUGCCUGUGCUCAUCUAAUCAGCAAACUUUUGAUAUUCAUUCAGCGUUACAUAUUUACGGUUGGACGGCUCUGUUGAACCAGAGAAGCGAUUUGAAAUUGUGAAGGCAUUCAACUCAGAUCCAACCAUUGAUGUGCUCCUAUUAACAACUCAUGGUAGGUUUGGAGAAUGCCAUAUGGAUCAGGGAUUUACUCCUAGAUAUAUAUACUAGAAAAGCUAUAUCUGAUUCUUUCCUGUUGCAGUCGGUGGGCUUGGAUUGAAUUUGACAUCUGCUGACACAUUGGUCUUUAUGGAACAUGAUUGGAACCCAAUGAAGGAUCUUCAGGUUUGCUUUUGCAUAUUUUAUCAACGAUAAGGCUACCAUUAAAUUUCCUCCACCAUUUUCAAGCUAUCCUCUGUGAAACAAACGAACAAUACUCCCCUCUUACAGGCAAUGGACAGAGCACACCGUCUGGGUCAAAGGAAAGUGGUAAACGUGCACCGUCUCAUCAUGCGCGGUACCCUGGAAGAGAAGGUGAUGAGUCUUCAAAGGUUCAAGGUGUCGGUGGCCAAUGCGGUCAUCAAUGCUGAGAACGCCAGCCUGAAGACAAUGAACACUGACCAACUGCUUGAUCUGUUUGCUUCGACGCCUGCUUCCAGAAAAGUAAAUCCCUUGUGACCAUAUAUCUCGUAUAGAAAAAACUUUUGUAAUUUUUAUUCUUUAUUUGGGUUUAUGAUCCUUUGUCUAUGGCCAUACGCAGGCGUCUGUACUCCCAAGCAGUUCGGGUGGUGAUCAGAGUAAAGAUUCCAAGGGGAAAUCUGGUGGGAAGGGUUUGAAGUCCAUUCUGAAUGGUCUGGACGAGCUAUGGGAUCAGUCUCAGUAUGCAGACGAGUACGAUCUCAACCAGUUCUUGGCGAAGCUCAACGGCUGAACACACGAUCACCGGUCCUGUACAGUGUAAAGCGAAUUGGGGCGUGUGAUGAACAGGUUGGCAGAUUUUGUUGGCAACCACAGGAGUCAGAAAUUUUUUUGUUGUUUCAUACGGAAGAAGGGAAAAAAAAAGGAAGAUCGCAAGAUCUAGAGCAAUGUGGCUAACAUAUAGGUGCUUGAGAUGGUGAUCUCAAAUUUUUGUCUUUUGAGCUUUUGGUUAGGAGGGUUUAGAGAGAGAUAGAGCUAGUCUUGAGAGGAGUUGUAUAUACUAUCUGCUCAUUAUAAUAAUUAAUCAAAGGCUGCAGCUCCUUGUAAAUUUUGCCUUGAGUUGCUUACUGUUUCUACCUUUUACUUGGCCUAGUAACUGAGCUAUCCAGUGGUGUAGUAAGCCUGCCUACUGGGAACGCGGAUCAUUUUUGUCUCGCUAACAUGUGAAAGUAAUAGUAAGAUCGGGUAAAAACGGAAAAGGGGUGAUACAUUCUUGCCUAUCAAUCCUUGCUCGUCUGAAUCCCGUUUUGGCCGCUAAGGAAGUUCCCAAAAAUUUUUCCUGUUCAUUGUCUGAAUCCCGUUUUGGCCGCUAAGGCCGUUUUGGACAAAUGUAUAGAGCACAAAAUAUAUAUUAAAAAAACUAAUUGUACAGUUAUGGAGAAAUCGUGAGCUUAAUCAGUUCAUGAUUAGCCAUAAGUAAUACAGUAACCCACAUAUACUAAUGACGGGUUAAUUACUUAAUUUGGCUCAAAAGAUUCGUCUCGCGGUUUCCAAGCGAGUCAUGAAAUUAUUUUUUUCAUUCGUGUCCGAAAACCCCUUCCAAUAUUUAGUCAAACAUCUGAUGUGAUACCUAAUUUUUUUUUCGUGAACUAAACGGUCCCUAAAAGGAAGUCAUCUCAGCCAAUGUGAAACUGAUGACCUUUCAUUCCCUUCUAUUCUUUCAUCGUUGUAAUUGUGACAUGUUAGACUAUAACUUUCAUCAGUUAGAAAUUGAUCCCUUGGUCUCCCUUUAUUAUUAUUUUUUGUUCGACCCUUGCUUAGGCCAUGUUUAGUUUCAAAGGUUUUCUUCAAACUUUUAACUUUUCCAUCACAUCAGAACUUUCCUACACACAUAAACUUUCAACUUUUCCAUUACAUCGUUCCAAUUUCAACCAAACUUCUAAUUUUGAUGUGAACUAAACACAACCUUAGAUGCAUAUCUUUUCAAUGUCCUUUGUUUCUACAUAGCCUACAUAGUAAGGGUAGAAGCGGUGUGGAAAUUUUCUAACCAUACCGAUACAGUUUCCCUAAAAUAUUACAUAGUCAUGCUGUAGCAGCACUCGGAAUAUAUAUGAUCUAGUUAGACUAGUUCUUCUCUCAACUUUCUCAGUCUCCCCUUUAUUUUUCACACGCACGUUUCCCAAACUACUAAACGAUAUGAUUAUUUUUUUUUGAAAAUUUUCUAUAGGAAAUUUGAUUUAAAAAUCAUAUUAAUCCAUUUUUAUUUUUAAACUUAAUACUUAAUUAAUCAAGGGGGUCAAUCCACUGUUUCAUUUUUCGCAUAGGGAGGAGUUCCCAACUACUCCCUCCGUCCCUAAAUAUUUGACGCCGUUGAUUUUUUUUAAUAUGUUUGACGGUUUGUCUUGUCAAAAAAUUUAAGUAAUUAUUAAUUCUUUUCCUAUCAUUUGAUUCAUUGUUAAAUAUACUACUAUUACUCAAGUUUUUGAAUAAUAUUCACAAAAGUUUUUGAAUAAGACAAACGGUCAAACAUGUUUAAAAAAGUCAACGGCAUCAAAUAUUUAGGAACUAAAAGAGUACUACAAACGAACGAAGCCUAGGCUUCUCCAUAUAAGGCUGUGUUUAGUUCACAGCAAAAUUAAAAGUUUGGUUAAAAUUGAAACGAUAUGACGGAAAAGUUGGAAGUUUGUGUGUGUAGGAAAGUUUUGAUGUGAUGAAAAAGUUGGAAGUUUGAAGAAAAACUUUGGAACUAAACCAGGCCUAAAUGAACAUUCGAUGGCUCCUCUAGAAACAUUCUUGAUCUUAGCAUUCAGUUUGGAAGAUGAAAUGGCAUUCACACGAGCAUUGCAGAUUUUCAUGGUCCAUCUGGCUAGCAGAGACCAGAGCGUCGUCUGCAAAUGCAUGAUCUGAGCAAACCUUUGCAGUCUUUGCUGCGUUGCGUUGACGGUCAGUCAACCCACACACACACGCAUCAUGCAACACAUUGACAGAUUGGCCUUAACUUCACUCGGUAAUUUAUUUCAUCGCUGUAACUAUGGCAUGUUAGACUACAACUUUCAUCCGUUAGAGCAGGUACAAUAGCAGGCUGUAAACAUAUUUUAAUAAGAUAAAAGAUGAGAGAGAAUAGCAGUGGGCUAUAGAUCUAUAGCCAGCUGCAGCGUGGACUCCAAGACACAAUGUGUGUAUGACAGGUGGUACCAUAUAUUAAUAGUAUAGUAAACAACUAUCGUAUAAAUUACCUAUUAUAUUGGCUAUAAAUAAAUUAAAGUUAGUAGUGGGUUAUACUAUUAAACUUGCUCUUAGAAAUUGAUCCCCUGGCCUCCCUUUAUAUUAGUUGCAUUCCUUUGAAUGUUCCACACUUGUUUAGCGAAUUAAAUUUAAAAAUAUACUGUUAAUUUAUUUUUUUUUCUCGAAAUUUUCAGGAUAUAUUUUUUUAACAGAAAUAUAUCGUCGUUCUGUCACAAACAUUACACGAACAUGACGACGCGGGCGAGACGGCGCUACCUCACACGAUGAAAUAGCUAGACCGAGCAGUACCAGCGAGCGAGACCGAAUGGCUGGCCGAUUCAAACUGUUUAAUUAUCUGAUAUUAAUUAAUCGCUAAUUAGAAUGAUUAAUCACUUGUUAUUAUUAAUUAAUUGCUAAUUGGGUAAGUCUCUAAUUAUGCGGCAGCUCACUGGGCAAGCCGUUCGCUCUCUGCUCAUUCAUUGUGCGAGAUUGCUUGGUCUCGUUGUUUCGUCACGUGAGACCGCGCGAUACGCUAUGGUUGCGCACAGUCACCGUGCAAGACCGUCCGCGUCAUCACACCUCACGUUGUUUGAGAUCGACAGUUUAUUUCUAUUAAAAAAAUAAAUCAACAGUAUAUUUUUAAAUCAAAUCUAAUUACUUGUUUAGCUGUAUAUCUUUUCAAAAUCGAUUAUCCCUACAUAGCAUAUGUAGUAGGGGUAAAAACGGUGUCGAAAUUUUCCAACCGUACCAAUACCAUUUCUAAGAAAUAUUACAUGGGGUGUGUUAUGUUGGGCUUUUCAACCUGCUUUUACUUUUGCUUUUGCAAAAGUUAAAAGCCAACUAAAGGGCUCAAAAAUCAUAAGUACUUUUGCUCCAAAGCUGCUUUUAGUGCAGUACAAAUCUAAAAGCACCCCUACCCCUGCUUUCAUUGGCUUUUGAGUAAAAAAAAAUUACCCGCCUCUCUCAUUAUAAAGAAAACGGUUCGACAAAAAUAAAAAUUAAUUACACAGAUUACGUGUAAAUUACAAGACGAAUCUUUUAAGCUUAAUUGCUUCAUGAUUUGACAAUGUGGUGCUACAGUAAACAUUUGCUAAUGAUGGAUUAAUUAGGCUUGAUAAAUUCGUCUCGUAGUUUACAUGCGGAUUCUGUAAUUUGUUUGGUUAUUAAACUAUAUUUAAUACUUUAAAUGUGUAUAUGUAUAUUUGAUGUGACACAGUAAAAAACUUUACCCAUAAAUCUAAACACAGUCUUAAUAUUCUACGCGUGUCACAGUGUGAAAUUUUUUGUUAUGAACUAAACAGUUUGGAAGAUGAAAUGGCAUUCGCACGAGCGUUGCAGAUUUUCAUGGUACAUCUGGCUAGCAGAGACCAGAGCGUGGUCUGUAAGCCAGACAGCCCAUAUGCAUGAUCUGAGCAAACCUUGCAGUCGUUGCUGCGUUGCGUUGACGGUCAGUCAACCCACAGACACACGCAUCAUGCAACGCCAUUGUCAGAUUGGCCUUAACUUCACUCGGUAAGGCCUGGUUUAGGCCAUGUUUAGUUCCAAAAACUUUUUUUCAAAAACAUCACAUCGAAUCUUUGGACAUAUGUAUAAUAAAAAACUAAUUGCACAGUUAUGGAGGAAAUCACGAGACAAAUUUUAUGAGCCUAAUUAGUCCAUGAUUAGCCAUAAAUGCUAUAAUAACUCACAUGUGCUAAUGAUGGAUUAAUUAGGCUCAAAAGAUUCGUCAUGCGGUUUCCAGGCGAGUUAUGAAAUUAGUUUUUUCAUUCGUGUCCCAAAACCCCUUCCAACAUCUGGUCAAACGUCCGAUGUGACACCAAAAAAUUUUCUUUUCGCGAACUAAACAUACCCUUAAGUUUCCCAAAUUUUUUUCCAAAAAACAUCACAUCGAAUCUUUGGACACAUGCAUGAAACAUUAAAUAUAGAUUAAGAAAAACUAAUUGCACAGUUAGAGGAAAAUCGCGAGACGAAUCUUUUGAGCUUAAUUAGUUCAUAAUUAGCCAUAAGUGCUACAGUAACUCACAUAUGCUAAUGACAGAUUAAUUAGGCUCAAAAGAUUUGUCUCGCGGUUUUCAGGCUAGUUAUGAAAUUCGUUUUUUCAUUCGCGUCCGAAAACCCCUUCCCACAUCCGAUUAAAUAUUCGAUGUGAUACCCAAAAAUUUUCUUUUCGCGAACUAAACAGGCCCUAACUCGACUCAUUCACUCGCGAACUAAAUAGGCCCUAACUUGACUCAUUAAGGCUGUGUUUAGAUCCAAAGUUUAGAUCCAAACUUCAGUUCUUUUCCAUCACAUCAACAUGUCAUACACACACAACUUUUCAGUCACAUCAUCUUCAAUUUCAACCAAAAUCCAAACUUUGCCCUGAACUAAACACAGCCUCACUCACUCUAGUCCCAGUCAAUCUAGGUGGCUAGCUGACAGCAAAAAAUUUUCGCCAUGUCACAUCGAACGUUUGAACAUCUGCAUGAAGUAUUAAAUAUAGGUUAAAAAAUCACAUAUUGCGACUAAUUUGUGAGACGAAUCUUUUAAGCCUAAUUGCUCCAUGAUUUGAUAACGUGGUGCUACAGUAGACAUUUGCUAAUGAUGGAUUAAUUAGGCUUAAUAAAUUCGUCUAUCUGUUUACUGACGGAUUCUGUAAUUUGUUUACCUGAAUACCUCAUAUGACACCCCGCCAAAACUUUACCCCCUCGAUCUAAACACCCCUGAAUUUGCUAUACUAGUAUAUAAUAUUCUCCAGCCGGAUCCUUCCUCUCGGACGCAGCAAUGGCAAUGACGAUGCUCUUCAGUCUGCUGUUUUGCACAGCUAAGGCUACUGAUGAUUCAGGAGCAGAAACUGAAGCAGAAGCACUCCUCCGAUGGAAGUCCACUUUGAUCGACGCCACCAACUCGUUGUCGUCAUGGUCGAUUGCCAACUCCACCUGCUCU
Molecule: long non-coding RNA, 52032 nt
Filed under: Oryza sativa (Asian cultivated rice)
Lineage: Eukaryota; Viridiplantae; Streptophyta; Magnoliopsida; Poales; Poaceae
Description: long non-coding RNA (OSAT_LNC000264)
Rfam family: MIR812 microRNA precursor family (bases 6898-7103)
Source: RNAcentral